RNAcentral lists this long non-coding RNA (63210 nucleotides) under Daucus carota (carrot). RNAcentral's name for it is "long non-coding RNA (DCAR_LNC005121)". The record is from RNAcentral. Lineage: Eukaryota; Viridiplantae; Streptophyta; Magnoliopsida; Apiales; Apiaceae.
AAUGAGGUCAGAGAAAGAGAAUUAUUUUUUAAUAGCACUUUGAGUAUUGAAUCCAAGUUUGAACAAGAAGAAGAGGAUGAUGAAUCUCCUCCUCCGUCGCUGAUAUUCCGCAGUUGUAAAGUGGUGAGUGAGCUAACAUGCAUAUACAUAGUUUCUAGUAUCAGGUUGCUCUCCGAAUAUGUAAUACUCAAAUCUUUCAAGGACGGAAAACAGCUAUUCAAGAUCUUUCUCAACCUUGGACAAUAAAAGAUUUCCAACCUCUCAAGUUUAGGAAAUACAAUUUGGUCUUUACCCCCUUUACUCAAAAAGUCUUCCACCCAUUCUUCUAGCUUUGGCAAUCUCCGUAAAAUGAGUGUUGUCAUUGACGGAUACAGUGCUGCUGUGACUGCUUUUUGGGCCAGACUUUGGCCUCCACAUAAAUCAUUUCCGAUAACCUUGACAUUUUCCAUCCGGUCUAUAGAUAUCUCUCUCAGUUUAGGAAGGUGACCCAGUGGGGGAAAUCCUUCGCACCUGCUGCAAUAUUUCACGGCGAUUUUCACCAUGUUGGUCAUCGUUGGGAUCCAUGACGCAAAUUUCUUUCCCAUAAAGUCUUCAAUUUCCAAUGCUUUCAGAUUCGGGUGAGGUUCUAAUCCUUCCAACACACCCUCAUCAUUGAAUACUCCUUCUUCCCUAUCAUCUUCAUUGUUCGUCCACUUCAACAGUAAAUGUCGAAUAUUGGACUUUUCACACAGCUUUGCUUUACGUGCUUCUUCAAUAUUCUCCACGUCAUUAAGGCCAUAAAGGCUAAGCGUACCUCUAAGAUUUUUUAACAUUCCUAGUUGUCCAACGAGACAAUUUUGAUUUUUCUUCACAACAAAAUGAGGCAGCGUUUGCAAACAAGUUAACCUCUCAAUCCCAACAAACAUGUAACUAAUUUCAGGAUAGCCAAUAACAAGAUGUCUCAAGUUUGUAAGUUGGCAGAUGUUUUCUGGAAGCUCACGAUCCUGUGAAAUUCUUAGAGUCUGCAAGUUGUAGAGUCUUGUAAUGUGAUUCGGCAGUUUAUAGAUAGUAUCGACAUCUAUCCGCAGGAGAUCUAAAUGCUUAAGGUAUUUCAAAUUCCCAAUUGAACCAGGCACCUCAUUACAAAAUGAUUCUAAAACCAAAACUCUCAAGUACUUGAGUUUGGGUAACACAAAGUUAAAUAUAGUGAUCUCUGUAUAUAGUGCUUGUACUGUAUCAAAGCGUAGCUUAAACAUACUUCGUUUUACAUCUUUGAAUCCUUCCAGCCUUACAUAUGUAGCCUUUGAUCCCUUGUCAACAUCACGACUUGGAUUUACAGUAGUAGAAUAAUUACUUGACACAUCUAGUGCAAGAUCAUGCACAAGAUCAUGCAUCUUGCACUUGGUAAUAUAUCCGUAUUCAUCCUUUUCCACAUCUUGUAACAAAGAAUUUCCCAACAGGAUGUCAAAGUAAUCGUUUCCAAUGUCUUCCAUCAAAACAGUCCUAUCCCCCGGAAGGAAUCCCAAUGCCAUCCAUAUUUGUAUCAAUUCAUCUUUAUAAAUGUCAUGAUCCUUUGGCAUAAUGGAACAAUAUGCAAAACAUCGCUUCAAAGAAGAGUAAGGUAGAUUAUCAUAUGACAGCCUCAAGGAAGACAGUACACCUUUCGAUUUCCAUAUUUCACUGUUUUGGAUUAGCAACCACUCUUCUUCGGUCUUCUUUGAGUACAAUAAACUCCCUAGUGUUUUAAUUGCCAGAGGCAGACCUCCACAUCUUUCUACCAUUCGUUUACCCAAGGCCACAAAUGCCUCAGUCUCUAAAACUCCUCCAUUCGAAAAUGCUUUUUGCUUAAACAAUUCCCAACUAUCUUCCACUGUUAGUUUUGUCACCAGAUAAGGAUCAGAACACUGCAUAGCAUCAGUCACUUCCUGCUUACGAGUGGUAACAAAAAUUUUGCUGCCUCUGGCACCCCGAAUACCAAGCAAAGAAUUCCUCAACUUGUCCCAUUCUUCUGGUUUCUCAUUCCAAACAUCAUCUAGCACAAGUAAAAACUUUUCGCCCCUCAGCUUUUCUUGAAGAUUUUUUAUCAGACCUUCUGCAUUAUCCAGUACAGAAGGCCUCGAAGUGAGUGACACUACCAAUUGAUUCAAAAUCAUAAUGAAAUCAAAAUCAUCUGAUACAGUGACCCACAUCCUCUUCGGAAACAUGUUGAUCACAGCAUCUCUAUUGUAAACCAUGCGGGCAAGAGUUGUUUUGCCUUGACCACCCAUCCCGAGUAUUGCAUUCACUUGUAAAGCCUCAUCAUUUGGGUUGCACACCAUGUUAACUAGAAAUGAUAUGUCAUCAUCUCUUCCGACAAUCAGUGACUCGUCUUCAAAGGGUUGGGUGUAGCGUAUCUCACUGUGUUGCACAGUAGAUAUCAAAUGCUCUACUGGCUUAAGUCCAAUAUCAGUAGCCCAUUUACAAAUCUUGUCAAAGGAAUUAUUGAUAUUCUUGAUCUUAUGAGCCACUUUGGAACGAUAUAAUAAGGUGUUUUUAGAAGGAACAAAGAAGUCUCUUACCUUAUGACGAUUCUCCAGUUUUCUUCGAGUAACUUCAUACUCGAGUUCAUCCAUAAAAGCUUCAGCUGCCUGAGCCACAUCUUCAAGUUUGUUGAACCAAAUUCUGGCAGUAGACAUGAUUAAAUUCUUGGUUUGAGCAUCGUGCAAGAGAGCACCGAUUAGUUCAAAUCUCUCACGCAGUGUCUCCAAAUCUUCGUGAAGUUUCCAGACCUGAAUCACUUCAUCAGUUGCAAGUGAAACUAGCUUUCGGGCCAGACCAGCAGCAAGAUCGACUACAAUUGCUUCAGCCAUCUUUCUUGCUAACUUCUUCAGGUUACAAUCUUGAUGAUUUCAAGGACUAUCCCUUGAGAUCUAUUUGAGUCUGGUCAAGUCUGAGGAGCCAAAAAUUACAUAUGAUAAUGAGCCACUAACAUGAUGGGGCCAUUUUGUGCAAUAAUUUUCGUUUUCAAAUUUGUUGUUUUCUUCUUCAAUACUUUAUUUCCGCACCUAUAUGUUUCAAGUUUCAACACGCGGUAACAUUCAGUAAAUUAAUAGUAUACACUAAUAACGAAGACCGGAAAUAUUUAUAGAAACUGAAAAAGACUAAUGAAAGUCAGCACCGUGGUGAGCUUUAUGCAAUAGGAAUCUGGAAACAUAGUAUGAUGCUUGUCAAAACGUCAAAAAACCUCAACUAUGUAACAAGGUUUCAUUCAGUGUUUAGAUUAUGCAAUCCAGAACGAGCCGCUAAAGGAUGUACUAAUACAUUUCAAAUAUGGUGUAUGGGUGCCCAUUUAUUGUGCAGAUAAACCCUGACUAGAAAAAAACAAGAAUUCAAGCCCAGUUGUAGAAUGGCGACAAAGUGAGAAAUGGGUUAAAGACUGACCGCUUUUCCCCUUGAUGCUCCAUUGCCAAUCCAGUCCCAGUUCCAGUUUACAGAGCUGGCGGUGUUAGAUUUCCCCAAACUAAAGGCUGUAGAUUGCUCGGGGAUUUAAACCUUAAUUUUUUUUGGGAUAAAUAUGAAGGUCUCGUUUCGUCCAAAUUAAAUCACUAAUUCUCAAAUUAACUCAAACGAGAAACUCAUUAAAAAAAUUUGUAUAAAAAAUAUGAUUCUAUCGUUAGUCGAAAUUUUGAAAGUAUUAUAUAUUGAGUUUCGCACAUUUGUUUAUGAAUAGUAUUACAUCCAAAUGAAGGAUUCCGAGUUCUACUAUUUUCGCUAAUAUUUUUAGAUUUUUAAAAUUUUAUCAACUAUUUAUUUUUAAUUUUUUGAUUGUUUUAUUUGAUUUAAAUAAAAAAUAAUAGGAGAUAAAUUUUUAAAAUCUAAAAAUAUUAUCUUAAAUACUAGAAUUCAAAAUCUUUCAUUUAGAUGUAAUACCAUUCAUAAAAAAUGUGUGAAACUCAAUAUAUAAUAUUUUCAAAAUUUCGAAUAACGAUAGAGUGAUAUUUCUGAUACAAUUUUUUUUGAUGAGUGUCUGAUUUGAGUCAAUUUGGGAAUCAGCGACUCAAUUGAUACAUUUGAACAAAACGAGUGGCCUACUUGAUAGUUAUCCCAAUUUUUUUUUUCUUCUUUUUUGAAUUCAUAAAUGAAAUGAAUAGCUUGAAAGGGGUGAAACGGUUUAUCUGGUUGUUUGACUAGAGAAAAUUUGAUUGAAUAUAUGUAAAUAUUAUAUAUAUAUAUAUAUAUAUAUAUAUAUANNNNNNNNNNNNNNNNNNNNNNNNNNNNNNNNNNNNNNNNNNNNNNNNNNNNNNNNNNNNNNNNNNNNNNNNAUAUAUAUAUAUAUAAUCGGGUUGGGUUGGGUUAGUUCAGGGUUAAAAUUUGUAAAACCCUGACCCAACCCAACUUAAUCGGGUUUUUUAAAAUAUAACCCAUUUAUUUUUCGGUUUUGAACGGGUCGGGUUAAUCGGCCUAAAAAAGGGUCGGUUUGGGUUGGGUUAACGGGUUGAACGGGUUUAUGUUCACCCCUAGUACACACUAGCCAUCCAAAUUUCAAAAUGUACGGUUCGGUCAUUGAAGUUUCUUGUUAUGUACGGUUUGAUCACAAAAAAUUAACAAAAUAAAAACCGGGAGAGAGUUUAAUACACACGAUGUUAGAGGAGAGUGGAUAGUAGGUGGGGAGCAUGCAGUUACACCGGCAAUUCUAACUUCAUACACCAACACACACUUCUAAAUGAAAUAUAAAUCGUUUCACUUUUUGGCACACACUUCUAAAUUUUUUGACCGUAUAAUUAAAAUUGUUAAUUUUGAAAUUUUCUUUUUUAAAUAAAAAUAAUAGUUAAUAUUAUAAUUCACAAAAAGAAAUUUUUAAAAAUAAUGAUUUUUAUUUCAACUAUAUGGUCAAAAGGCUUAAAAUUGUGUGCCAAAAAGUCAAACCACUUAUAUUUCAAAACGGAGGGAGCAGCACUUAUUCAUUUGGACUUAUGUGUAAUGUGUAUCACUUAUUUGUUUCGACUUAUCAUAGAUAUUUUUUAAAAACUAUUAUAAUAAAUUAAAUAUUAUUUAUUAUUUUAAUAUAUUUCUAUCAUUAUCCAAAAUAAGGUGAUAUAAUAAAUCUCUUGUCAAAGGAAGCAUUAAUAUUCUUGAUCUUAUGAGUCACUUUGGAACGAAAUAAUAAGGUGUUUUUAGAAAGAACAAAGAAGUCUCUUACCUUAUGACGAUUCUCCACUUUUCUCCGAGUAACUUCAUACUCGAGUUCAUCCAUAAAAGCUUCAGCUUCAUGAGCAACUUGUUCAAGCUUUUUAAACCACAGUUGGGCAGUAGACAUGUUUAAAUUCUGGGUAUGAGCAUCGUUCAAGAGAGCACCAAUUAGCUCAAACCUUUCGCGCAGUGUAUCCAGAUCUUCAUGAAAUUUCCAAGCCUGAAUCAACUCAUUGGUUGCCAGUGAAACAAGCUUGCGAACCAGUCCAGCAGCAAGAUCAGCUCCAGUUGCUUCAGCCAUUUUUUCUUGUCAGCUUCUUUAGUGUAUUAUCUUGGAGUAGAUGUGUAUGCAUGUGGUGAUAGUUUUAAUGACUAUCCCUUGAUAUAUGUUGGAGUCUUGGUCAACUUUGUAGUGUGAACUUUGAUAGUUUUGUGGGGCAGAUGUGUAUGUGGUUACUAAACAACUCAUCAACAUUCUAUUACGAACACUGCUCUUGACAUUUUAUGAAAAGCGGAACAAAAUUCAACAAAUAACUCAUUGAAACAUUUCAUCAAACACAUGAGUAUGUGAUAAAUGACAUAACAUAUGAUUCAUAAACAGUUAACGAAAGAGAGUUAAAGACCGAAAGAGAUCAUUCUAUGCCCUGAUAGAAGUGAGCAGUGAAGAGUAGCAAAGAUUGGGUACAGGAGAGGAGAAGAGCACUAACCCUCUGACCAAGCUUCUGCAGACUAUUCAUUGUGAACAUUUAAGCAACAACAUGAACAAGCACAGUUUCAAAGAACUAAUGACUAAUUACUUGCUGACAACUUCACAAUUUGAGGCUAUAACCUAGGUUUACAAUUGGAAUAUGUUUAAUCUUAAACCAUUCUGGUCCGCUCCCCUUGCAAUAUCUUUCUUUCAGAAUUGGACACCCACUUAUCUCCAGGCGUUCAAGGCAAUGAGAUUCGUCAAACAUGGGCAAACUCUCCAAAUUCUUGCAAUUGCGAAUAACUAAGAUCUUGAGAGAUGGGAGCUUUGCUAUUGGAAGGAGAAGACCACUCACACCUUCGAAAUCAGAUAUAAUUAGUUCAGUCAAGGCAGGGAAGGCUGUGAACUGAAGUUGCUCAACGAGCGCUAUCGAUCUUACAUUUUCCCACCCACACAGUUGUAGCCGAAUCAGGUUAGGAAAUGAGGAGGAGGAAGAAGAAGAGAAUGGCAAAGGAAAUUCAACCAAUUCAUCCGAAAAGGGACCUAAAUACAAAUCUACAACUGUGGAACUCUGAAUUUGGUUAAAAACCCGAUCUAAAAGAGAGGAGGGGAGAUUCCUAAUCGAAAGAUCUGUUAGACUAACUGACCCUUGAACUAAGUUAAUACUAAUUAGAUGCGGGCAAUCAUGUAUACGUAAACUGUCAAGAGAGACACCAAGCACCAGACGUUUUAAACCCUUGCAGUCAUCUAGGUGUAAUUUUCUGAAAGACUGAGAAUUAUUUCUCAAUAGCACAUUAAUUAUCGAUUCCAUGUUCGAACUUGAGGAAGAAAAUGAACUUCCUUCUCCGUCCUUGAUAUUCUUGAGCUUUAAAGAGGUGAGUGAACUAACAUCUCUGCUGAUCAUUUCUAGUAUCAUGCUGCUCUCCAGAUCUUCGAUUUUCAACACCUUCAAGGACAUAAAAGAACUAAUCGGGAUUUUUCUCAACGUUGGACAGUUGAAGAUUUCAAACUCCUGAAGUUGAGGGAAUACACUUUGGCCAUAAUUGACGCAUGUACUUGUGACAUCUUCUACCCAUUCUUCUAGCUUUGGCAUAUCUUCCAAAUGGAGUUCUCUCAGUGAUGGAUACAGUGUUGAUGUAACUGCUUUCUGGGAUCCACAAAAAUCGUUUCCAACGACCUUAACAUUUUCCAUCCCACUAAUACAGCAGUACUUGAGUUUAGGAAGGUGACCCAAUGGAGGAAGUGUUGGUUAUUUUAGUGUAAAUUGAAUUAACUAGUUGAUCAAUGUAAUCAUAAUAUUACAUCGAACAAGUCAGGAGAGUACGGAGUGUAUGCUUAGUUCGAGUUUAUUAUGAUUAUUAGUGCUUAUGAGGCAUGUUCAUUGGCAUUAGACACAUCUAUUGGAAAAGAAGUGUCUAUUGGCAUUGGAUUUGUCCAUUGACAUUAGACACAUUUAUUGGGAUAAGAUGUGUCUAUUGCCAUUAGACAAAUCUAUUUGGAUUAAGACGUGUCUAUUGUCAAAAGACACAUCCGUUGACAUCUAUAUAUAGAUGUUGCAUUGAUCAUUUCAAGAUAGAUGGUUCAUUUGAAAUACACAACAAUACACAUUCUCUCUUCUUGCAGAAUUUCUGACUUUAUCCGAUUGAAUUAUUUGGUGAACCACAAAUAACUUCAAUCUGAAAGUGUUCACACGACUUCAGAAAAAUCCAAGUUACAACCAAAUCUACAACAAAGAUUGAAGUUAUUCUAUUCUGAAGAUGACGAACGGAGAAUCUGCAAAAGAUAUGACAAGUAAGUUUGCAAAGUUGGACAAGUUUGAGGGUCAAGAUUUUCGAAGAUGGCAAAAGAAGAUGCAUUUUUUGUUGACCACGCUAAAGGUUGUGUAUGUUCUAAGUACUCCUAUGCCAGAAGAGAUUGAGAAUGAAACUAUUGAACAAACAAGGCAACGCUGCAAAUGGGAAAACGAUGACUACAUAUGUCGCGGUCACAUCCUAAACGGUAUGUCUGAUUCCCUUUUCGAUGUAUAUCAAAAUGUUGAGUCAGCGAAAGAAUUGUGGGAUUCUCUUGAAUCCAAGUACAUGGCAGAAGAUGCUUCUAGUAAGAAGUUUCUUGUCAGUAAUUUUAUGAACUAUAAAAUGGUCGAUUCUAGACCGGUGAUGGAACAAUACAAUGAAUUGUUAAGGAUUCUGGGACAGUUUGUUCAACACAAUUUGAAGAUGGAUGAAUCUAUCUCUGUUUAUGGUGUUAUUGACAAACUGCCACCAUCAUGGAAGGAUUUUAAACACACCUUGAAACAUAAUAAAGAAGAUAUGACAUUGGUUGAACUUGGAAGUCACUUCCGAAUUGAAGAGGCUUUGAGGACUCAAGAAAAUGAGAAUAAUCCUAAGGGCAAGAACCAAGUCGGUAACUCUUCUGUGAAUAUGGUUGAAGAUGGUGGAUGUUAUAAGAAUCCUAAAAACAACAAGGGUGACAAACGGAAAUUCAAAGGAAACAACAACAACUUUUCCAACAAGAGGCCUAAGAUUGCAUGUUGGAAGUGUGGCAAACCUGGACAUUUCAAGAAGGAUUGUCGGGUUGGUAAAAGUAAGCAAGAAAGGCUUAAUGCUGGUCCAAGUGGAUCCAAGGAUCCAGAAAAGCAACAAGGUCAGAUUUUGAUCAAAAAUUGUAAUUCUGGUCAGAAUUAUGUAUCAUUGAUAUCUGAUGCAUUUUAUGUGCAGGAUGAUAAUGUUGCUUGGUGGAUUGAUUCUGGAGCAACAAGUCAUGUAUGUAAAGAUCUUCGUUGGUACACAGAAUUUCAACCAAUUGAAGAUGGAUCUAUCUUAAAGAUGGGAAAUGUUGCAAUUAAACCGAUCAAAGGGCUAGGAAAUGUUAAGCUAGUGUUUACUUCUGGAAAAUGUAUAUAUUUAAAUAAUGUGUUGUAUGUACCUGGGAUUCGAAAGAAUCUCUUGUCUGGUGUUGUAUUAAAUAAUUGUGGAUAUAAGCAAGUUUAUGAAAGCACCGAUCAAAGGGCUAGGAAAUGUUAAGCUAGUGUUUACUUCUGGAAAAUGUAUAUAUUUGAAUAAUGUGUUGUAUGUUCCUGGGAUUCGAAAGAAUCUCUUGUCUGGUGUUGUAUUAAAUAAUUGUGGAUAUAAGCAAGUUUAUGAAAGUGACAAGUAUAUCUUGUCAAAACAUGGCACUUUUGUUGGCUUUGGUUACUUAUGUAAUGGCAUGUUUAUGUUAAAUGUAAAUACUCCAUUUAAUGAUGAAUCUUCUUGCAUGACUUCUACUAGUACUAGCCUAAAUUUAAAUAAAUCAGAAUUAUGGCAUGCUAGACUAGGACAUGUACAUUAUAAAAGAAUAAAGGAUAUGUCUAAAAUGAGUCUCAUACCUGCUAUUGAUUUGAACAAUGAAAAAUGUAAAACAUGCAUGUUAACAAAGAUAACUAGAAAGCCCUUUAAAGUUGCUAAUAGGGUGUCUGAUGUAUUAGAAUUGAUACACAGUGAUUUGUGUGAUUUUCAUUCUACACCAUCAUUAGGAAAUAAAAAGUAUGUUGUUACUUUUAUUGAUGAUGCUUCUAGAUAUUGUUAUGUAUAUUUGUUGCAUGCGAAAGAUGAAGCUCUUGACUCCUUUAAAAUAUAUAAAGAAGAAGUAGAGCUACAUCAUCAUGGUACCUUGAUUAAAAAUCUACGUACUGAUAGAGGAGGUGAGUAUUAUGAUCCAGUGUAUUUUCAAUCUACUGGUAUAAUACAUCAAACCACGGCUCCUUAUACACCACAACAAAAUGGUGUAGCAGAAAGAAAAAAUAGGACUUUGAAAGAAAUGGUUAAUUCCUUGUUGUCCUACUCGGGUUUGAGUGAGGGUUUUUGGGGUGAGGCUAUGUUGACAGCCUGUUAUUUAUUGAAUCGAAUUCCUAGUAAGAGGAAUAAAAUUACUCCUUAUGAACUCUGGUGAUAUGAUUGAUGAAAACAGAUUUACAUCUAUACCUAGACCGAGGGACAUGCUUCUAUAUUCUUCUAGUAGGAACUCAGUUUCUACAGAAGAUGUUCAUCAACCGUCUGAACCAAGGAGAAGCACUAGAGCUAGAAAAACAAAGUCUUUUGGAGAUGAUUUUCAUCUUUAUCUAGUUGAGGGUUCUAGAGAUGAAAUCAAAGAUCAAUAUCAAUAUUGUUUUAUUAUUGAGGAGGAUCCAAAAACUUUUACUGAAGCUAUGACAUCGAGGGAUGUUGCAUUUUGGAAGGAAGCUAUCCAGGAUGAAAUGGAUUCUAUCAUGAAUAAUAAUACAUGGGAAUUGAGUGAUUUGCCCCCUAGCUGUAAAGCAUUGGGAAACAGAUGGAUCUUCAAAAGGAAAAUAAAGGUGGACGGUACGAUAGAUAAGUUUAAAGCCAGAUUGGUAAUCCAAGGCUUUAGACAAAAGGAAGGGAUUGAUUAUUUUGAUACUUAUGCUCCUGUUGCUAGGACUUCAACUAUUAGGUUGUUAAUAGCACUUGCUGCUAUACACAACCUUGUCAUUUAUCAAAUGGAUGUGAAAACUGCAUUCUUUAAUGGUGAAUUAGAUGAAGAGAUUUAUAUGAAACAACCCGAAGGGUUUGUUGUGCCUGGUUGUGAUAAAAAGGUGUGUAAAUUGAAGAAAUCAAUUUAUGGUCUAAAGCAAGCACCGAAGGAUUGGCACGAUAAAUUUGAUAAAGUGGUCUUGUCUAAUGGUUAUGUUAUUAACCAAGCAGACAAGUGUGUAUAUAGCAAAUUUGAUUCUUCUGGUAAAGGAGUUAUAAUUUGUUUAUAUGUGGAUGACAUGUUGAUUUUUGGUACAGACCAAAAUCAAGUGGAUAAAACCAAGAAGUUCUUGUCAUCUAAUUUUGAUAUGAAAGACAUGGGGGAGGCUGAAGUGAUUCUUGGUAUAAGGAUCAAGCGUGAGAAUAAUGGUAUUUCAAUUUCUCAAUCUCAUUAUAUUGAGAAGAUUUUGAAAAGAUUUAAUUUUAAGGAUUGUUCUCCAGUUAGCACUCCUCUUGAUCCUAGUAUUAAACUCCUACCAAAUAAAGGUGUUUCAGUAUCUCAACUUGAGUACUCAAGGGCUAUUGGUAGUCUUAUGUAUGCCAUGAUAAGCACUAGGCCAGAUAUUGCCUAUGUUGUUGGAAAGCUUAGUAGGUACACUAGCAAACCAAGUUCACAUCAUUGGCAAGCCUUAAGCCGAGUAUUCAAGUACUUGAAAGGAACCAUGGAUUAUUGUUUAACAUAUACUGGAUUUCCUUUGGUUAUUGAAGGUCAUUCGGAUGCAAGUUGGAUUUCCAAUGAGGAAGAUCAUUCUUCCACAAGUGGAUGGGUAUUCCUCCUUGGGGGAGGUGCUAUCUCUUGGUCAUCAAAGAAACAGAGUUGCAUUACAGACUCAACAAUGGAAUCUGAAUUUGUGGCAUUAUCAGCUGCUGGUAAAGAAGCUGAAUGGCUAAGAAAUCUGAUAUAUGAAAUUCCAUUGUGGCCAAAACCUAUAUCACCCAUAUCAAUAAGGUGUGAUAGUCAAUCUGCCUUGUCUAAUGCUUAUAGAGAAGUGUUUAAAGGCACAUCUAGACACAUAGGUGUUAGACAUAGUAUGAUUCGUGAGCUUAUCACUCACGGUGUUAUAUCAGUGGAGUUUAUAAGAACUCAACAUAAUUUAGCCGAUCAUCUUACCAAAGGAUUGAGUAGAGAUCUUGUGCACAAGUCGGCUGUGGGGAUGGGAUUAAAGUCCGUUUAAAAGUCUCUCAUGUUGAGAAACCCAAUUCUCACCUAAGAUUACACCAGGUGCUGAAUUUAAUGUGGAAACUUAACAUCUAGAGAUUGGAACACAUUAAAGCAUCAUCCCAAGUUAUGUGUUCAGACCUGCAAGAUAAAGAGGUUGAAGUCUAUCUUCUUAAUAGUUCUUUUGAAAAAUCGCAUAUGCAGGUGCGAGAAUAAAAGAACUACCUAUUUGAGCAUGAAGUUUAGCCGCUUCAAGAAGCUUGGACUUGGCUUUGAUAUGCUUACGAAGGAUUGGGACACAAGGCUAGUAAAAUAUAGUGUCAAGUAAGAAAAUGUGAGAAUGUAAAGUUAUGUGUAUAUUAUCUUCAUGUAUUCAUUAUGAAUAGUAGAGGUUCAAUCCAUCGCGAUACCUUGAUAUUCGAAUAUUUGAAAUGUGUAAUAUACUAAUGUGAAAUUCAAUCGUCAUGAUAUUUCAUUUAUGCAUAACUUUGUUAUUUGUUGUGAUUUUGUUUAGUUGAUUAUGGAUUACACUAAAAUGGGGGAGGAUUGUUGGUUAUUUUAGUGUAAAUUGAAUUAACUAGUUGAUCAAUGUAAUCAUAAUAUUACAUCGAACAAGUCAGGAGAGUACGGAGUGUAUGCUUAGUUCGAGUUUAUUAUGAUUAUUAGUGCUUAUGAGGCAUGUUCAUUGGCAUUAGACACAUCUAUUGGAAAAGAAGUGUCUAUUGGCAUUGGAUUUGUCCAUUGACAUUAGACACAUUUAUUGGGAUAAGAUGUGUCUAUUGCCAUUAGACAAAUCUAUUUGGAUUAAGACGUGUCUAUUGUCAAAAGACACAUCCGUUGACAUCUAUAUAUAGAUGUUGCAUUGAUCAUUUCAAGAUAGAUGGUUCAUUUGAAAUACACAACAAUACACAUUCUCUCUUCUUGCAGAAUUUCUGACUUUAUCCGAUUGAAUUAUUUGGUGAACCACAAAUAACUUCAAUCUGAAAGUGUUCACACGACUUCAGAAAAAUCCAAGUUACAACCAAAUCUACAACAGGAAGUACUUCACACCAUACGACGAUUCUCCACCUUCCUUCGAGUAACUUCAUACUCAAGUUCAUAUAUAAAAAGCUUGAGCAACAAUAGCCAUAUCCUCAAGUUUGUUGAACCACAAUCUGGCAGUAGUCAUAGUUAAAUUCUAGGCAUGAGCAUCGUCCAAGAGAGCGCCAAUCAAUUCAAAUCUGUCACGCAGUGUCUCCAAAUCUCCGUGAAGUUUCCAGACCUGAAUCACUUGAUUACUUGCAAGUGAAACUAAGCUUUCAGACCAGUCCAGCAGCAAGAUCACCUACAAUUGCUUCGGCCAUCGUUCUUGAUUAUUUUUUAUCAUUAAUGGUUGUAAUGUCUACUUUGAGGAGCCACACCCACCUGAAUGGGGGACACAUUGUGUAAAAAUUUUCGUUGCAAAUUUUGUUUGUUUGCAAAAUUACAAAUUUUAGGCGGAGUUUUCUUGUAUGGACGUUCAGGCUUGAUGAUCUCCACCAAUUUGCUUUGGCACAGAGUUAUGUAAUAAUGGGUAAAGGCCUAACAUACCUGCUUUUCUCGGUGUUCCAAUAAUCCUUGAUUAAUUCUUAUAAAAUAUUUUUUCAAGUUAUCGAUUACAUUCUGAUUUGAUUAAAAAUCUUUAAUUUAUCAAAAGAUAUCCGACACAUGCUGAAUAAAUAGGUCAACAGAAUUAGUUUUGAUUUCCGGUCUCUAGACCCAUGUGAUUUUUUCCAAAUAAAAGUUAGCGAAAUACCUGUUGGCCGAAAAGCCAGCUCCAAAUACCAACCAAAAUGCAUUUAAAAGUCAUUCGUCUCUGACAACCGUGUCUCCAAAUCUUCAUGAAGUGUCCAAACCUGAACCACUUCAGUAGUUACCAAAUAACUUCAUUACUUGCAACAAAGACUCAACUUGAUUAGUGAUGAAAGAACAAUGUGACUUACAGAACCAUGUUUACAGUUCACAAAAAUAGAGGCCUUCAUCUUUGUGCAACUUGGAUGCCAGCUUAAAGAUGUUUAAUGUUAUAUUACAGAAGGUAUACUUCCUCUCUUUUCUCUGCUUUUAUGUAAAUUUAGCAGGACUAAUACAUGUUAGGAGUUUCCGAUAAGCGCAAUAAAAUUGUUAGUCUCGCACAAUGGUAUUAUAAUCAGUAAAAAUGUUUGUGGAGUUCAUGAUAAGUGUAAUGAAACUGCUAGUCUAGGCAUCAAUCCCUUAUGCAACAAACAUGCCAGUGAGAGAACUUAUCAUGAAAAUUAACUGUACAGAAACAGAGGGGAUACAUUUGAUGUAGUCUAGGAAUCUAUAUUUGGAAUCUGCUGAAUCCCAUUCCCCUUCCAACAUCUCACUUCUAGAAUAGGACACCCAAAUAUAAGGUAGUUUAGAGCACUUGACUCUUCAACUACAUUGAUACUCAUUAGAUCAGCGCAAUUGACCACUUUUAAAUAUUCAGUAGCGACACCAAGGGUUAUGCUCGUCAAUCCCUGGCAGUCAUAUAGGUUCAAAGUUGUCAAAGACGGAGAAUUGUUCAAGAGCUUGUUAAUUACAGAGUCCAUAUUUAUGUAAGAAGAAGAAGAGGCUCCUCCCCUGUUACUGAUAUCACUCAGACGUAGAUGUGUGAGAGAGUGAAUCUUUCUGCUCAUUGUUUCUAGUAUCACGCCGCUGUCCAAAUUUGAUAUUCCCAACUCCUUUAAUGAUGGAAAACAACUACUUGAGAUCCUUGUCAACUUUGAACAUCUCUUAAUAUCUAACACCUCAAGUUUAGGAAACGAUACGAACCUAGUUUGGUCUUCAGUACUAGUUACUGGUUCUAGCCACUCUUCUAGCCUUGUCAGCCCUCGCAGUAUUAGUUUUGUCAAUGAUGGAUACAGGGUUCUAACCAGGUUUGUGGCUUGAUCAAAAUUGCUCUUGAUAACCCUCAAAUUAUCCAUCCCUACUAUCUUCAUCUCCCUCAGUUUAGGAAGGUGUCCCAGUUGUGGAAAUUCUUCACAUCUGUUGGCGUUUCUCAAUGUGAUUUUCACCAAAUUGUCCAUCAUUGUAAUCCAAGAUGCAAAUUUUUUCGCCAUGAAGUUGUCAAUCGUCAAUUCUUUCAGGUACGUGUGAGGUUCUAAACCUUUCAUCACAUCUUCAUAGUUAAAUUCUUUGUCCUCCCUUUCAUUUUCAUUGUUGCUCCAGUCUAAUAGUAAAUGCUGAAUACGAGGCUUUUGACAAAGUUUUGCCUUACUCGCUUCUUCCAUAUUAACCACGUGCCUCAGAUCGUAGAGUUUAAGGUUACCUCUAAGAUUUUUCAGCCCUCCUAGUUGUCCAACUAGACAAUUUUGGUCUCUACUGACAACAAAAUGAGGAAGCGUUUGAAGACAAAUUAACCUCUCUAUUCCAAUAAACAUGCAUCUUCUAGGAUUGUUGUCUGCAAAUUUAUUCUCGACAAAGAGAUGUCUUAGGUUAAGAAGGUUGCAAGCCUUCUUUGGAAGCUCAUGUAAAGCUGAAAUUCUUAGAGUCUGCAAGUUGUAGAGUCUUGAGAUGUAAUCUGGCAAUUUAUAACUCUUGCACCCGAGAGAAUUUGAGAUAUCGAGAUGCUUAAGGUAUUUCAAAUUCCCUAUCGAACUUGGCAACUCAUUAGAAAAUGACUUUAGAACCAGCACUCUCGAGUGUUUGAGGUUGGGUAAGAGGACACUGAUAAUACUAGCCUGUGAGUAUAGUGAUUGUACUGUAUAAAAGUAGGCCUUGUAGAUAUUUGGUUUUAUAUCCUCAAACCCCUCCAGCCUUACAUAAAUUGCCUGAGAAAGCUGGUUAGAAUCCUGACUUGGUGUUACGGUUUGGGAGUGAUUAGUUGACACAUCUACAGCAAGAUCAUGCACAAGAUCAUGCAUUUUGCAACAGGUGAUAUUGCCAUAUUCAUCCGUUUCCACGUCUUGUAACAAAGAAUUCGACAACAAAAUGUUGAAGUAUUCACUGCCUAUGUCCUCCAUCAGCAAACUGGUAUCUCUAGGAGGCAAAAGGAAUCCUAAUGCCAUCCAUAUAUGUACCAUUUCAUCUUUAUAUAUAAGAGAAUCCUUUGAAAGAACAGAAAAUAUGCAAAACAUCUUUUCAAUGAUGAAUAUAUGGUAAAUUGUCAUAUGACAACCUCAAGGAUGAUAAUACCCCUUUUGAUCAUUUCCAUACUUCACUGUUUAAGAUCAACAGCCACUCUUCCUCCGACUUCUUUGAGUACAAUAAACCCCCUAAUGUUUUUAUUGCCAGAGGCAGGCCGCCACACCUUUCCACCAUUCUUCUUCCCAAGUCUACGAAUUCCCUGGUCUCUAAAACUCCUCCAUGUGUAAAUGCUCUUUGCUUGAAUAGUGCCCAACUAUAUUCUUCUGAAAGUUUUUCAACCCUAUAACAAACAGAACAUUGCAUGGCAUCGAUGACUUCCUGGUUACGCGUGGUCACUAGAAUGCUGCUUCCUUUGGCACAACCAACUCCAAGCAAAGAAUUCAUCAAGCUAUCCCACUUAUCUGCUUUCUCAUUCCAUACAUCAUCCAGUACAAGUAAAACCUUUACCCCCUUUAGAUGUUUUUGAAGAUUUUUGAUCACUGCUUCGGUGUUAUCCAACACUGAAGUGGUUAAAGUAAGCGAUCCUACCAUCUGAUUCAAAAUCUUCAUAAAAUCAAAAUCAUCUGAUACAGUAACCCAUAUCCUCUUUGGAAAUAUAUUGAUCACAACAUCUUUAUUGUAAACCAUGCGAGCAAGAGUUGUCUUACCUUGACCCCCCAUCCCUGCUACAGCAACGACCAGUAAAUCCUCAUCAUGAAUUUCAGACAAGACAUGAACUAAAUUUGAUACAUCUUCAUCUCUUCCGACUACUUGUGUCUCGUCUUCAAAGGGCGCGGUGUGACGGAUCCCUCUCACUUGUACAGUUGCACUCAAUUGUGCUAUGGGUUGCAGUCCAAGAUCUGCCGCCCAUUUAAAAAUCUUGUCAAAGGAUUUAUGAAUAGUCUUGAUCUUAUUAGCCGCCUUAAAACGAUUUAAUAUGUUGUUUUAGGAAGGAACAAAGAAGUCCCUUCCCCUGUUAUGAUUUUCCACCUUUUGUCGAGUAACUUCAUAAGCCAGCUGAUCCAUAAAAACAUCAGCAACAUGUGCCACAGCUUUGAGUUUGCUGAACCAGGUUUGGACAGAAAACAUAUCUAGUUUCUUGGUAUAAGUAUCUGACAGGAGAGCAUCGAUAGAUUACAGCCUUUCGCGCAGUGUUAAUAGAUCUUCAGAAAGAUUCCAGGCCUGAAUAACUUCUUCAGUAGCAAGUGAAAUAAGCUUGCGAACCAGUCCGCUGGCUAGAUCAGCUACAAAUGCAUCAGCCAUGCUUUUAUCAAUUUCAGUUACCUGAUUAUAUCAUGAAUAUUUGCAUGUUAAAAGAUUAGUAUUUGGGUAGUAAUGGAGUCUUCUUCAACUUUGGGCUAUCAAAAGUCAGAUGUAAUAGUAUUAUUGAAUUCUUUAUGCCCUCUUUGUCACAACUUUAAGCUACCAUGUCCUGUGGAUGGUGAGUUGAAUAGAAAUUUAUCAAGUGGGGGAAGCUGAGGGCAAAGAAAGCCAAUCCAGCUAAAAGUCAAUAGCCUCCUAGAAGAUGGCAUCUUUACUCUUUACAUGCCAGGUGAUGAUCUUCAACUAAAUCUAUAUUUAUAUUCAUUUAUUUUAUCGAAUUCAGAUUAGAUUAAUAUUGGAUUUUUUACGGGCCGAUCCGAAUCCGUCAGAGACGACACGGAUCUCGAACUCCACUAUGUAUAAUUUAUUUUAUUUUAAAGAAAAUUGACUUGUUAUAAAAUUAUAAAAGACCAUUUAUCGUUUACAAUUGAACAAAAUUUAAACCAAAAAAUAUUUAAAAAGAAAAAAAUAAAUGUAAAUCGACGGUCAAUAUUGAUUCGAGAAUAUAAAUGAAAAAGAAACAUGAAAAUAGAGAAUGUAAAAUCUCGAUAAGAUUAUUUUGGAGCAAGUCUAUCGUCCUAAUAUAAAAAAAAUGUUUGAUACCCAGACGACAGAAAACUUACAUGGGUGUAUUCGAUUGGGAUUUUAAUGCAUUGUUUUUAGUCUAUGGAUUUUAAUGGAUUGUAUCAGAUUUUGAUUUUUUGCGGAUUCUUGAUGAAAUGUCGCAGAGUUGAUAGGAUUUAGGUACAAUGCUUCAAAAUCCCAUUGAAUUUGGUGGGAUUUCAAAAAACUUAAAAUACACUGAAGAAUGCCACAAAAUCCAUCAUUUUAUGAAAUGAAAAAAAAUCCAUCAGCAUUUGAAUACCAUCAGAUUUUAAUGGAUUUUAAACAAUCCCAAUUGAAUACCAUCGGAUUUUAAAGUAUAAUUUAAAAUCCCAAUUGAAUACCACUAGAUUUUGUAGCAUAGUUUAAAAUCCCAAUUGAAUACCUCAAGAUUUUAAUGGAUUUCAAACAAUCCCAAUCGAAUACCCUCGGAUUUCAUGAAUGCAAAAAAAUGCUUUAAAAUCUCAAUCCAAUACACUGAAGAAUGCCACAAAAUCCAUCAUUUUAUGAAAUGAAAAAAAAUCCAUCAGCAUUUGAAUACCAUCAGAUUUUAAUGGAUUUUAAACAAUCCCAAUUGAAUACCAUCGGAUUUUAAAGUAUAAUUUAAAAUCCCAAUUGAAUACCACUAGAUUUUGUAGCAUAGUUUAAAAUCCCAAUUGAAUACCUCAAGAUUUUAAUGGAUUUCAAACAAUCCCAAUCGAAUACCCUCGGAUUUCAUGAAUGCAAAAAAAUGCUUUAAAAUCUCAAUCCAAUACACCCCUCUUAGUUUCUCUUAUUUUCAUCUUUGUUGAAAAAGUACUUACUACAUUAUUACAUCUUUGAAGAAAGCAUUUGUAUCAGAAGUAUCCUUGACAUUUUCCAACUCCAUUGUAGCAUCAUCUUGUUCUUUGUUGUAAACAAAAAAGUUUGCAGCCAGAAGAAAAAACAAGAGGUUAAUAAAGCUCAGAACAGCAUAAAAUGCGUAGAAAUAGUCCAAGCGAGACACAUUCAAGUUGUCCAAAAUCCAGCCCUUGUGACCAUCCCUCUUAGUGAAAUCAGACACAGUUGUUAGAAUAAAACUGCUUAGAAAAUUCCCCAUACUCAAGCUAGUUGUAUAAUAGGCUGUGCCCAAGCUUUUCAUACUUUUUGGAGCUUGAUCAUAGAAGAAUUCAAGUCUCCCCACUUCCCAAAAUGUGUCAGCAACCCCCAUCAGAGCAUACUGAGGAAGUAAUAUGAAAAUGCUGAGCGGAACAAUUUGAUUUUUCUUUGUAAUGCCGUGAUCUUUAAUGACGUUUAAUCGCUUCCUUUCACAAACUGAAGCAAUGAUCAUGAUGAUGACAUGCAUUACUAGGCCUAUUCCCAUUCUUUGCAGCAUUGGGAUCCCUCUUGGAUUUUUGGUGUAGCUUCGAAGCGUGGGAACCAGGAAUUUAUCAUAGAUCACAACAGUGAUCAGCAUAAAGAUUGUUAUGAAUGCUACAAGAGAUGCCGGGGGAAUGCUGAAAUGAGGACCUAUGCUUCUAACAAGAGUGGUACCUUGCUUGAUGAAGAGCGUAUGUCCUUGAGCUAUCAGGGUGCUAGGUAAGAAUGAUACUAAUAAGAUUGGCACCAUUUUCACCAUUUGUUUUGUUUCUUCAACUUCAGUCACUGUGCACAGCAUCCAGUGAGGGCUCCGUCCAUCCACAACAGCUGCUUUAUCUAGUAUUCUGUGUAAAAGAAAAAGAUAAUUAAAAGUCGUACUCAUAACACAAGACUCCUGUAAAGGAAACAGAGAACCAUAAACCUCUUCUUUGAUAAAAAAAAAAAAAAAUGACANCUAAAACUUAAAAGUCGUACUUAGUGCACAAGACUCCGGUGUCAAAAGUAAAAAAGGAAACAGAGGACUAUAAACCUCUUCUUUGAUGAAUAAGAAAUACGACCUUAGUAAAGGAGAGUGUUCAAUUCUAUACUUUCCAGGUUUGGAAUAUUCAUCCAAAUUCAACUCAUGUAGUUCUUUUGGAUCAUCCGGGACAACCACAUCCCAUUUUCUAAUAGUGGCUAUAAGAACUCUAGCCAUCUUGGUCAAUGGGCUCCCAGAUGCAGGUUGGUGCCUAUAAUAAGGCGAGCCUGCUAGAAACACCAAUAUUGAUAAAAAGAGUCCGAUUGUUGGAAGACCAUAUCCAAGUCCCCAGCCUGCAUGAUCUUGUAUAUAGACUAGGAAAGUGCUGGCAAAAAGUGUGCCGAAGAAGAUACUAAAGACCCACCAAUUAAAGAAUGAUAUUUUCUGGGUUUUUUCUGUUGGCUCAAAUUCAUCAAACUGAUCUGCACCCAUUGUUGAGAUGUUGGGCUUUGUCCCUCCAGUUCCAAGUGCAAUUAUGUACAAUGCACAGUAGAAAAUACCCACUUGAAAAGGUGAAGCUUGCUUGUCACAGUCCACGUCUGAUAUACUGUCACCGCAUGAUGGUGGCCGGAGAGAUUUUAAUGAAACUACUAGUGUCAGCAAGGACAUGCCCUGUUACACAACAAAUAUUUGAGCCCAAGCAAAGCAAUCAAAACAUAUAGUCAAGAUCACAGAUAUAUGUGAAACUCGCGAACAAUUUUAUGUUUUCAUACCCCAAGAUAGAUGAAGGCUGAAACGAUGAAAGUCCAGUAACGGCCAAGAUGAGCAUCCGCGAUGUAGGCACCUAGAAUGGGUGUCAGCCAGACAGUGCCAACCCAGUUGGUGACAUUGUUUGAAGACUUCACGGUGCCUUCAUGUAAUUUUCUUGUGAGAUACAGCACUAGAUUUGUUGAUAUUCCAUAAAAUGCCAUCCUCUCAAAUGCUUCAUACCCUUCAAAAUCAUUCAUUAUACGGAAUAAAUUAGAAAAUCAAACCAAAAUUUAUUUUCUUCACCUUGAUACAAAAUAGUACAUGAGUUGAAUGUGGUAAAUGUUCCAUUGGAUGACAUCAGAAUUAUCAAAAGAAGCAAUAGAAUCUUGUUGACAUACCUACAAUGAAGGAGGUUGCUCUCCAUCUCCCUGUGUUUGAUCUUAACACAGGAUUACCCAUGAGGUCAACUGUUCCAUCUUUGGUGUACUCAUCAUCCCCUCUCGUCUUGCCAUUCUCUUCGACUACUCUUUCCAUUGUCAUUGUCAUCUCCCUGUGUUUGAUCUGAACACAGUUCAACGUGCAGCUCGAGUUUAUACUAGACAACCUCUGUCUACCUGCAUAUACAGUUAGCUACAAAUGAAAUGGUGGAUAAUAAUUAAAUCACUAACAGACUAAGACUGAAGUCAGUUUUUAUAUCUGAAAUUCAACCCUUUUCUUAUCUAAAAUAUUCAUGCUGGUAAAAGAACAAAUACAAGUGUCCAAGUAAAUGAAUAUAGACGCCACUUCUUAGUUUUUUCUAGUAAUAUACAAAUGCAGCUGCUAAUAUUUUAGUUAGCAUCAAAAUGUUCAAGUAUGAAGAAUAUCUGGGGCAAGACGGCUACCAACGUUAAUUUGCCGACUGAUCCCCGCAUAAGUGACAAAUAUUCAUGUCUAUAUAGGUAACAAUUUGAAAGCUUAGUAGCCGACCUCAUCAUAGGAUCAGUAAGUACAUCGCUCACUUGUCUUCUUCUUCUUCUCUCUUUUCUUUUUGCCGACUUGUUAAUGGAACUUAUCAGUUAUUAGUACAUCGCUCACUUAUUUAUCUUUUUUCGCUAAGCAGCUCAAUACUUAUUGAACUUCUAUUUAUCUUUUUUCGCUAAGCAGCUCAAUAUUUAUUGAACCUCUAUUCUGCUUCCUCUCCGUUCACUCAUUAAGCCUUAAAGUCAUUUGUGAAACAACUACCACCGAUAAGCUAAUACUCCCUCCAUCCCAAUUCUUUUGUCCUGUUUGAUGUUUUGUGGACAAAUUGACUCAAUUUUGACUGAAAUUGACAUAUAUUAAAUAAUUGAAAAAAAUUAUAAAAAAUAUAUUAUUAGAAUCUACAUUUAUUCUACUUUAAGAUGUAUUUUUCAAUUACUAGAAAUCAUAUAAGGAUAAUUAUUCAUUAACGAUCAAAGUUGGGUCAAUUUGACCACAAAAAAUCAAACAAGACAAAAGAAGUUGGUAGGACGGAUUUUGUAGAGUUUGUUUUUGUCAUUAUAGUGUUACCACCCGUAUUUUCUUACAAUUUUGUAAAUGACAGGUUUUUGAAUUAAAUCUUGUAUUAGUAUGAAUUUGAUUAAUAAUAUUAAUAUGAACUCUUUAUUUAUUUGAAUUCUAAAACAUGACAAAUUUUUAUAAACUUGUUUUAUAAAUUAAAUUGUUUGAGUUUUAAAAACUAAAAACAAAUUAACAAUUCUAUUGAAGGUACAAGUGUGACAUUACAUAAAAGUUCUAAUAAAAUAAUUGUACUUCUUAAAUAAAAUAUAUAUAAGUUUCGUCAUUCAAUAUUUGGAACGGGGAAAGCAAAGGUGGUACCAUUAUUCAUCGGUGCUAGUGAAAAGGGCCGCACUCCUGCAGUAUCUUUGGAUCAUAAAGGAUGCUCUUCAGAAGUCCACAUCUCAUUAUCACUGAUUUAACAAAUUCAAAUAUUUCAGGUGAAGCAAUAAAAAUGAAGACAGAGAUAAGUUAGUACUAACAGAGAGUGAUAAGUUUACCAUCUGAUAAUCGGAAUAUGUUGAAUCUUGAACCAUUCUGGCCCACUCUCUUUCCUGUAUCUUUCUUUCAGAAUUGGACACUCACUUAUGCGUAGAAAUCGGAGGCAAUGAGAUUCAUCAAACAGAGACACUCUCUCCAAAUCCUUACAAUUCUGAAUAGAUAAGUCCGCAAGAGAUGGAAGCUUCGCUAUUGACAGGACAAGAUCUUUCAUACCUCCGAAAUCACAUAUAAAUAACUCGGUCAACGCAGGGAAGGUGGAGAGCUGAAGCUGCUCAAAGAGCGCUAUUGACUUUACCAUUUCCGUCCCUCGCAGAGACAGCCAAACUAGGUUAGGGAAUGAAUGUAAUGAAGAAGAGAAUGGCCAUGGAAAUUCAUCCGAGAAGGGACCUAGGCGUAAAAAUCUAAGUGUGGAACUCUGAAUUUGGGUGGAGAUUCCAUCUAGAACAGAGGAGGGGAGCCCGAUUAAGUAGAGAGAUUUUAGACCAGCUGAUCCUUCAACUGAAUUAAUACUUACUAGAUUCGGGCAAUCAUAUACAGACAAGCUGUCAAGAGAGACACCAAGGGUGAGAUGCUGUAAACCCUUGCAGUCACGUAGGUCUAAUGAGGUCAAAGUCAGAUAAUUAUUUUUUAAUAGCACUUUGAGUAUUGAUUCCAAGUUUGAACAAGAAGAAGAUGAUGAUGAAUCCCCUACUCCGUCUCUGAUAUCAUCCAGUUCUAAAGAGGUGAGUGAGCUAAGAUGCAUAUACAUAGUUUCCAGUAUCAUGUUGCUCUCCGAAUUUCUAAUACUCAAUUCUCUCAAGGACGGAAAACAGCUAUUCAGGUUUCUCAGUCUUGGACAAUCUAAGAUUUGCAACUUCUCAAGUUUAGGAAAUACAAUUUGGUCUUUACCCCCUUUACUCAAAACGUCUUCCACCCAUUCUUCUAGCUUUGGCAAUCUCCCCAAAAUGAGUUUUGUCACUGACGGAUACAUUGCUGUUGUGACUGCUUUUUGGGCCGGACUUAGGCCUCCACAUAAAUCAUUUCCGAUAACCUUGACAUUUUCCAUCUUGUCUAUAUAUAUCUCUCUCAGUUUAGGGAGGUGCCCCAGCGGUGGAAAUCCUUCGCACCUGCUGCAAUCUGUCACGGAGAUUGUCACCAUAUUGGUCAUCAUUGGGAUCCAUGACGCAAAUUUCUUUCCCAUAAAGUCUUUAAUUUUCAAUGCUUUCAGAUUUGGGUGAGGUUCCAAUCCUUCCAACACACCCUCAUCAUUGUAUUCUCCUUCUUCCCUUUCAUCUUCAUUGUUCCUCCAAUUCAACAGUAAAUGUCGAAGAUUGGACUUUUCACAAAGCAAUGCCUUGCGUGCUUCUUCAAUAUUCUCCACCUCACUAAGGCCAUAGAGUUCAAGUGUACCUCUAAGAUUUUUUAACAUUCCUAGCUGUCCAACAAGACAGUUUUGAUUUUUCUUCACAACGAAAUAAGGCAGCGUUUGCAAACAAGUUAACCUCUCAAUCCCAACAAACAUGUAUCUUUUUUGAGAAUAGUCAAUAACAAGAUGUCUCAAGUUUAUAAGUUGGCAGAUGUUUUCCGGAAGCUCAUGAUCCCAUGAAAUUCUUAGAGUCUGCAAGUUGUAGAGUCUUGUAAGGUGAUUCGGCAGUUUAGAGCUAGUAUCGAAAUCUGCCAUCUCAGAGAUAUCUAAAUGCUUAAGGUGUUUCAAAUUCCCAAUUAAACCAGGCAGCUCAUUACGAAAUGAAUUUAUAACCAAAACUCUUAAGUACUUGAGUUUGGGGAGCACACAGAUAAAUAUAGUGGCCUCUACAUAUAGUGCUUGUACUGUAUCAAACCGUAGCUUAAACAUACUUUGUUUUACAUCUUUGAAUCCUUCAAGCCUUACAUAUGUAGCCUUUGAUCCUGUGUGAACAUCAUGACUUGGAUUUACAGUGGUAGAAUAAUUACUUGACACCUCUAGUGCAAGAUCAUGCACAAGAUCAUGCAUCUUGCAGUUGGUAAUAUAUCCGUAUUUAUCCUCUUCCACAUCUUGUAACAAAGAAUUUCCCAACAGAAUUUCAAAGUACUCGUUUCCAAUGUCUUCCAUCAAAACAGUACUAUCCCCCGGAAGGAAUCCUAAUGCCAUCCAUAUUUGUAUCAAUUUAUCUUUAUAAAUGUCAUGAUCCUUUGGCAUAAUGGAACAAUAUGCAAAACAUCGCUUCAAAGACGAGUAGGGUAGAUUGUCAUACGACAGCCUCAAGGAAGACAGUACACCUUUUGAUUUCCAUAUUUCACUAUUUUGGAUUCGCAACCACUCUUCUUCACUCUUCUUUGAGUACAAUAAACUCCCCAGUGUUUUAAUUGCCAGAGGCAGACCACCACAUCUUUCUACCAUUGUUUUACCCAAGGCCACAAAUGCCUCAGUCUCUAAAACUCCUCCAUUUAAAAAUGCUCUUUGCUUAAACAAUUCCCAACUAUCUUCCUCUGUCAGUUUUUUCACCAGAUAAGGAUCAGAACACUGCAUAGCUUCAGUCACUUCUUGCUUACGAGUGGUAACAAAAAUUUUGCUGCCUCUCGCACCCCCAACUCCAAGCAAAGAAUUCCUCAACUUGUCCCACGCUUCUGGUUUCUCAUUCCACACAUCAUCUAGCACAAGUAAAAACCUUUCGCCCUUCAGCUUUUCUUGAAGAUUUUUAAUCAGACCUUCCGCAUUAUCCAACACAGAAGGGCUGGAAGUGAGUGACACUACCAUUUGAUUCAAAAUCAUCAUGAAAUCAAAAUCAUCUGAUACAGUGACCCACAUCCUCUUGGGAAACAUCUUGAUCACAGCAUCUCUAUUGUAAACCAUGCGAGCAAGAGUUGUUUUUCCUUGACCCCCCAUCCCGAGUAUUGCAUUCACCUGUAUCCCCUCAUCAUUUGGGUUGCACAACAUGUUAACUAGAAAUGAUAUAUCAUCAUCUCUUCCGACAAUCAGUGACUCGUCUUCAAAGGGCUGGGUGUAGCGUAUCUCUCUGUGUUGCACAGUAGAUCUCAAAUGUUCAACUGGCUUAAGUCCAAUAUCAGUUGCCCAUUUACAGAUCUUGUCAAAGGAAGUAUUCAUAUACUUGAUCUUACGAGCCACUCUGAAACGAUAUAAUAAGGUGUUUUUAGAAGGAACAAAGAAGUCUCUUACCUUAUGACGAUUCUCCACUUUUCUUCGUGCAACUUCAUACUCAAGUCCAUCCAUAAAAGCAUCAGCUACCUGAGCCACCUCUUCAAGUUUGUUGAACCAAAUUUUGGCAGUACACAUGAUUAAAUUCUGGGUUUGAGCAUCGUGCAAGAGAGCACCGAUUAAUUCAAAUCUCUCACGCAGCGUCUCCAAAUCUUCGUGAAGUUUCCAGACCUGAAUCACUUGAUUAGUUGCGAGUGAAACUAGCUUUCGGACCAGUCCAGCAGCAAGAUCUCCUACAAUUGCAUCAGCCAUUGUUCUAAAUCUUUCUGGUUUCUUUAGAAUGUUAUCUUUAGCGAGGUGUGUUUGUGGUGAUAGUUGUAAGCACAAUUGGUUGAGAUAUAUUGAAGUCUUCGUCAACUUUAUGAUGCCAAAGGACAAUUGGUGAUGGUUGUAAGGACAAUUGGUUCACAUGGAUGGGGUCAUCUUAUUGAUUGUUCGCUGAGUCUAAUUUAAUUUUUUUGCAGAAUUACAGAUUUACUGGCAUAGUAAAUAUGAUUUCCUCUAAAAUACUCUUUCCAUUUCAAAUUAGAUGUUCACUCUCAAAAAAUCACACAGGUUAAGAAAACUAAAUGUUCACAAAUUAAAUUGCAUUAAGUAAUUAUAAUAUUUGAAAUGAGAUUGAUAUAAAAAAUAUAAAUAAAAUAUAUGUGAAGUAGAAUUGACUUUAGAAAUAUGAUUUUGCGUUGAAAGUUGAAGUGCUGCCUCGAAAAUGGACAUGUAAAUUGAAACGGAAAGAGUAUUUGAUUUGCUCCCUUUACUUGAGAAGAUGUCCUCCUUGUCCUUGUGUAUGCUUUUACAUGCCCUUUUGAAUAUCAGGCAUCGUGUUCUUCGAAAAAACAUUCAAGUGUUAUUUUGAAAAGAAAGAAGGGCAGGAAUUUUGCUGGAACACUUUUUCUUCAGAAAGUGACAUGUAGGGAUGGAGGGAGUAUCACAAACAAUAUUGGAUUUGAAUUUCAUUUGUAAUCCUAGACAUUCAAAUAGUAGUGUAAAUUUGAGAAUUUGAAAUAACAACUCAAAUCAUGUCAUUUGAAAUCCAACAUUUCAAAUGAAAUACAUGUUUUCAAACGCGAUCAAAAGCUUAUACAGGGAGAGACUGGAGCCUCAAGCAACAAGUAACAUAGAGAAGUGAAAAUUAUCCCAGAUUCACUAGCAAAGCUUCAAUCUCUCUGGACGUUAUUUGUCGGAUGUUGUGGGAAGUCGGACAGUUUGUCUUGACAAAUUAGAACGCAAUCUAUGCGCCAAAUAAAGCCCAAUCUCCGAGAGAUGAGAGUUGGAAGAGGUGUGAGGCAAAAUAGUUCAGAUUUUAACACAUUUUGGAUAGAGACCGUGGGUUUAUUCAAAAUCUAAGGACUGAAAGCCUCCUGAAAUUUCUGUAUAAGAUGAUAAACUACCUUUUUGCUGCAUAGAUAUAUGGUUUGUCGAAUCAGGAAUGGAACGGUGACAGUAAAAUUUUCACUAAACAGUCGCCUAAAAAACUUUUAAGGUAAACAUCAUAAGAACAUGUCAUUACAUUCCUUCUGAACCAUUCUUACAGAUAAUAAGAGAACGUAUGUUAAAGUACUUUUACAGAUUAUUUUUAGAAUAUGUUUAGUGCUGAACUUUUCUCUGCCACUCCCUGGACUACAACUCCAUCUUAGUUUAACAAAGAAAUCUAACAGAGGGGGAGAGCUUUCAGUGCUUCCAAAUCAAUUCAUGCCCGAUCUGUAUGCGAGGAAUAUGUUGUAUCUUGAACCAUUCGGGCCCACUCUCCCUCCUGCAUCUUUCUUCUAGAAUAGUACAUUGAAAUAUUUUCAGGUAUUGUAGGCUAUGUGACUCAUGAAACGUAGGCAAACUCUUCAAAUUAUUACAAUUCCAAAUACGUAACCGCUCAAGAGAUGGAAGGUUUGCCAGUGAUUCUGGAAGAGCUUCACUCCUUCGAAAUCAUUUAUGUACAACAGAGUCAAUGCAGGGAACAUAGAGGAGAGACGAUCAUCGAGCUCCCCAUUCAGAAGUAUUGACCUUACCUUCUUCCAACCGUACAGGGUCAGUGAGGUCAGUUUAGGAAACAAAAUUACAGAUGAGAAGGAGGGCCAGGGAAAUUCGUUUAGUUCAUCCGAGAAGGGACCUAAUAUCAUCUUUUCAAGUCUUGACCUUGUACUAGGGACAGAUACUAAUUCUGAAAGAGAGGGGCAUCUCACAAUAAUAAGAUAUUUUAGGGCACCUUCAACUACAUUAAUGCUAGUUAGAUUAAGGCAAUCACUCACUUCUAGUUCCUCAAGAACUAUACCAAUGGUCAGAAAUUUCAAGCCCGGGCAGUUAUCUAGGUUCAAAGUUUUCGAAGACAAAGAAUUGGUUUCCAAGAGCUCGUCAAUUAGAUAGUACACAUUUGAUGGAGAGCCUCCAUUUCUGUCCCUGAUACUCCUCAGCCGUAGAUUCACUAGAGAGCUAAUCUUCCUGCUCAUUGUUUCUAGGAUCUUGCUACUGUCCAGAUUUGUGAUAACCAACUCCCUAAGUUUAGAAAAUAAAAACAGGGUAUUUGGAAUCAUUCUCAACUUUGAACAACGCUCAAUUUUCAGUACCUCAAGUUUUGGAAAUACUGGCACCAUAUUUUGGUCUUCAUUGCCAGUGGAGAUAUUUGGUCUUCAUCGCCAGUGGAAACGAGUGUUGUUAAUGAUGGAUACAUCGUUGCAACUGUUUUUACAGACCCCCUGUAACUCAAACCACUACUAGUGCUAGCUAGACCUCCACAGAAAUCUCUCCCGAUAACUUUGAGAUUGUGCAUUCCAAAUAUUACAAUCUCCCUCAGUUUAGGAAGGUGACUCAAUGGUGGCAAUGCAUCACAAUUGUUACAAUCUUUCAAUGUGAUUUUCACCAAGUUCAUCAUCAUUGUAAUCCAUGAUGCAAAUUUCCGUCCCUUAAAGGAGACAACUGACAGUUCUUUCAAAUAUGUGUGAGGUCUUAAUCCUUCAAUCACAUCCUCGUUGUUGUAUUCUUUACCUUUCCUUUCAUCUUCGUUGUUGCUCCAGUCUAAGGGUAAACACUGAAUGUUAGAUUUUUCACAAAGCUUUGCUUUACUUGUUUCUUCCAUAUUUGACACAUCACUAAGACCAUAGAGAUCAAGUGUACCACCAAGAUUUUUAAGCCCUUCCGAUUGGCUAAGGAGACAAUUUCGUUUUCUACUGACAACAAAAUGAGGAAGUGUUUGAAGACAAGUCAAUCUUUGUAUCCCAAUAAACAUGUAUCUUGUGGAUAACUCUUCUGCAUAUUUCUUCUGAACAACAAGAUGCCUCAAGUUAAUAAGGUUGCAGACCUUCUCUGGAAGCUCAUUUAGAGCCCAAAUUCUCAAAGUUUGCAAGUUAUAGAGUUUCGUGAUGUAAUUUGGCAAUUUAUAGCUCUUGAAUCCGACAGAACUUGAGAUAUCAAGAUGUUUAAGGAAUUUCAUAUUCCCCAUUGAACUUGGCAACUCUUUAUAAUGUGAGUUCAAAACCAACACUCUCAGUUGCUUUAGGCUGGGUAACACGACACCGAGUACACAAGCCUGUGCAUACAGUGCUUGUAUAGAAUUGAAGUACACCGUAGAAAUCUUGUCAAAGGAUUUAUGAAUAGUCUUGAUCUUAUUAGCCACCUUAAAACGAUUUAAUAUGUUGUUUUUAGAAGGAACAAAGAAGUCCCUUACCCUGUGAUGAUUUUCCACCUUUUGUCGAAUAAUUUCAUAAGCAAGUUGAUCCAUAAAAACAUCAGCCACAUGUGCCACAGCUUUGAGUUUGCUGAACCAGGUUUGGACAGAAGACAUAUCUAGUUUCUUGGUAUAAGUAUCGGACAGGAGAGCAUCGAUAGAUUCCAGCCUUUCGCGCAGUGUCAACAGAUCUUCAGAAAGAUUCCAGGCCUGAAUAACUUUUUCAGUAGCAAGUGAAAUAAGCUUGCGAACCAGUCCGCUGGCUAGAUCAGCUACAAAUGCAUCAGCCAUCCUUCUAUCAAUUUCAGUUACCUGAUUAUAUCAUGAAUAUUUACAUGUAAAAAGAUUAGUAUUUGGGUAGUAAUGGUGUCUUCUUCAACUUUGGGCUAUCAAAAGUCAGAUGUAAUAUUAUUAUUGAAUUCUUUAUGCCCUCUUUGUCACAACUUUGAGCUACCAAGUGGUGAGUUGAAUAGAAAUUUAUCAAGUGGGGAAAGCUGAGGGCAAAGAAAGCCAAUCCAGCUAAAAGUCAAUAGCCUCCUAGAAGAUGGCAUCUUUACUCUUUACAUGCCAGGUGAGAAUCUUGAUCGACUAAAUCUAUAUUUAUAUUCAUUUAUUUUAUCGAAUUUAGAUUAGAUUAAUACUGGAUUUUUUACGGGCCGAUCCGAAUCCGUUGGAGACGGAGAUCUCGAACUCCACUCUGUAUGAUUUAUUUUAUUUUAAAGAAAAUUGAGUAGUUAUAAAAUUAUAAAAGACCAUUUAUCGUUUACAAUUGAACAAAACUUAAACCAAAAAUAUUUAAAAAGAAAAAUAAUAAAUGUAAAUUGAUGGUCAAUAUAGAUUCGAGAAUAUAAAUGAAAAAAAGCAUGAAAAUUGAGAAUGUAAAAUCUCUGAUGAGACUAUUUUGGAGCAAGUCUAUUGUCCUAAUAUAAAAAAAUGCUUGAUACCCAGACGACAGAAAACUUAGUUUCUCUUAUUUUUAUCUGUCGAAAAAGUACUUACUACAUUAUUACAUCUUUGAAGAAAGCAUUUGUAUCAGAAGUAUCCUUGACAUUUUCCAACUCUAUUGUAGCAUCAUCUUGUUCUUUGUUGUAAACAAAAAGGUUUGCAGCCAGAAGAAAAAACAAGAGGUUAAUAAAGCUCAAAACAGCAUAAAAUGUGUAGAAAUAGUCCAAGCGAGACACAUUCAAGUUGUCCAAAAAAUCCAGCCCUUGUGACCAUCCCUCUUAGUGAAAUCAGACACAGUUGUUAGAAUAAAACUGCUUAGAAAAUUCCCCAUACUCAAGCUAGUUGUAUAAUAGGCUGUGCCGAAGCUUUUCAUACUUUUCGGAGCUUGAUCAUAGAAGAAUUCAAGUCUCCCCACCUCCCAAAAUGUAUCAGCCACCCCCAUCAGGGCAUAUUGAGGAAGUAAUAUGAAUAUGCUGAGCGGAACAAUUUGAUUUUUCUUUGUAAUGCCAUGAUCUUCAAUCACAUUUAAUCGCUUCCGUUCACAAACUGAAGCAAUGAUCAUGAUGAUGACAUGCAUUACUAGGCCUAUUCCCAUUCUUUGCAGCAUUGGGAUCCCUCUUGGAUUUUUGGUGUAGCUUCGAAGCGUGGGAACCAGGAAUUUAUCAUAGAUCACAACAGUGAUCAGCAUAAAGAUUGUUAUGAAUGCUACAAGAGAUGCCGGGGGAAUACUGAAAUGAGGACCUAUGCUUCUAACAAGAGUGGUACCUUGCUUGAUGAAGAGUGUGUGUCCUUGAGCUAUCAGGGUGCUAGGUAAGAAUGAUACUAAUAAGAUUGGCACCAUUUUUACCAUUUGUUUUGUUUCUUCAACUUCAGUCACUGUGCACAGCAUCCAGUGAGGGCUCCGUCCAUCCACAACAGCUGCUUUAUCUAGUAUUCUGUGUAAAAGCAAAUGAUAGCUAAAACUUAAAAGUCGUACUUAGUGCACAAGACUCCGGUGUCAAAAGUAAAAAAGGAAACAGAGGACUAUAAACCUCUUCUUUGAUGAAUAAGAAAUACGACCUUAGUAAAGGAGAGUGUUCAAUUCUAUACUUUCCAGGUUUGGAAUAUUCAUCCAAAUUCAACUCAUGUAGUUCUUUUGGAUCAUCCGGGACAACCAACUUCCAUUUUCUAAUAGUGGCUAUAAGAACUCUAGCCAUCUUGGUCAAUGGGCUUCCAGAUGCAGGUUGGUGCCUAUAAUAAGGUGAGCCUGCUAGAAACACCAAUAUUGAUAAAAAGAGUCCGAUUGUUGGAAGACCAUAUCCAAGUCCCCAGCCUGCAUGAUCUUGUAUAUAGACUAGGAAAGUGCUGGCAAAAAGUGUGCCGAAGAAGAUACUAAAGACCCACCAAUUAAAGAAUGAUAUCUUCUGGGUUUUUUCGGUUGGCUCAAAUUCAUCAAAUUGAUCUGCACCCAUCGUUGAGAUGUUGGGCUUUGUCCCUCCAGUUCCGAGUGCAAUUAUGUACAAUGCACAGUAGAAAAUACCCACUUGAAAAGGUGAAGCUUGCUUGUUACAGUCCACGUCUGUUAUACUGUCACCGCAUGAUGGUGGCCGGAGAGAUUUUAAUGAAACUACUAGUGUCAGCAAGGACAUGCCCUGUUACACAACAAAUAUUUGAGCCCAGGCAAAGCAAUCAAAACGUAUACGUGAAACUUGCAAGCAAUUUUAUGUUUUCAUACCCCAAGAUAGAUGAAGGCUGAAAUGAUGAAAGUCCAGUAACGGCCAAGAUGAGCAUCCGCGAUGUAGGCACCUAGAAUGGGUGUCAGCCAGACAGUGCCAACCCAGUUGGUGACAUUGUUUGAAGACUUCACGGUGCCUUCAUGUAAUUUUCUUGUGAGAUAUAGCACUAGAUUUGUUGAUAUUCCAUAAAAUGCCAUCCUCUCAAAUGCUUCAUACCCUUCAAAAUCAUUCAUUAUACGAAAUAAAUUAGAAUAUCAAGCUGAAACUAUGUUCUUCACCUUAAUACAAAAUAGUACAUGAGUUGAAUGUGGUAAAUGUUCUAUUGGAUGAUAUCAGAAUUAUCAAAAGAAGCAAUAGAAUCUUGUUGACAUACCGACAAUGAAGGAGGUUGCUCUCCAUCUCCCUGUGUUUGAUCUUAACACAGGAUUACCCUUGAGGUCAACUGUUCCAUCUUUGGUGUACUCAUCAUCCCCUCUCGUCUUGCCAUUCUCUUCGACUACUCUUUCCAUUGUCAUUGUCAUCUCCCUGUGUUUGAUCUGAACACAGUUGAACGUGCAGCUCGAGUUUAUACUAGACAACCUCUGUCUACCUGCAUAUACAGUUAGCUACAAAUGAAAUGGUGGAUAAUAAUUGAAUCAUUAACAGUCUAACACUGAAGUCAGUUUUUAUAUCUGAAAUUCAACCCUUUUCUUAUCUAAAAUAUUCAUGCUGGUAAAAGAACAAAUACAAGUGUCCAGUAUCUGGGAGAGCUUUCAGUGCUUCCAAAUCAAUUCAUGCCCGAUCUGCAUGCGAGGAAUAUGUUGUAUCUUAAACCAUUCUGGCCCACUCUCCCUCCUGCAUCUUUCUUCUAGAAUAGUACAUUGAAAUAUUUUCAGGUACUGAAGGCUAUGUGACUCGUGAAACGUAGGCAAACUCUUCAAAUUAUUACAAUUCCAAAUACGUAACCGCUCAAGAGAUGGAAGCUUUGCCAGUGAUUCUGGAAGAGAUUUCACUCCUUCGAAAUCAUUUAUGUACAACAGAGUCAAUGCAGGGAACGUAGAGUAGAGACGAUCAUCAAGCUCCCCAUCCAGAAGUAUUGACCUAACCUUCUUCCGACCGAACAGGGUCAGUGAGGUCAGUUUAGGAAACCAAAUUACAGAAGAGAAGGAGGGCCAUGGAAAUUCGUUUAGUUCAUCCGAGAAGGGACCUAAUAUCAUCUUUUCAAGUCUUGACCUUGUACCAGGGACAAAUACUAAUUCUGAAAGAGAGGGGCAUCUCACAAUAAUAAGAUACUAGUAUGUUUGCCUGCUCCGGGCAUUCUAAAUUAAUAUUUUUUUAAAAAAUAUGUUUGCUUAAAUUUGUAUUUGAUUAGAAUUGAGAUUUUUUGUUUGUGGAUGAAAAUUAUUUUAUAUUUGUUUUUUCUAUUUCUUGUUUAAAUCUAAAUUAAAUUCUAAGCUGAAAAAUAUCUGAUAAUAGAGAUAAUCUCGUUCUUUCAAUUUUUGGUACGAUAUGUUUGUCCCAAAUAUAUAUAACUAUAAAUUUAAUUUAUUGAACUUAAAUAUUACAGAAAAUAGUAUAGACAUUUGUAUUGUAUUUUAAAAUUAGUAAUGCAAGACCCAAAUAUUAGUUGUUUUUCAUUAUAAAAUAAAAAAUGAGUUGUUUUAAAAAUUUGAAACUAGCCAUCAAUAUCUAUGCCAAAAAUCACAAUGAAUUCUCUCCGAAAAAUCAUAGCCUACACAAUGAAUUCGAAGUCUCAGACAUGUUAAGGCGUUAUGGUUGGAUUGUGCCAGCUUACACCAUGCCUCCUGAUGCCCAACAUGUUACUGUGCUUCGUGUAGUUAUCCGCGAGGACUUUUCAAAAACUCUGACUGAACGCCUGGUUACAAAUAUCAAGCAGGUCCUCGAGGAGCUUGACACACUCCCAAGUAAGGUGACACAGAAGUUGACAACUGAGGUGGACAACGGCAAGGCUGUGAAGAAAAGCUGAAGUCCCAUUCCAGUUCCAGGUAAAGAAAUGGGGCAAUGAACCCACCGCUAGCAGCGUGCACAUGAAUUGGUGUAUCCCAUCUAUCAAAAGAAAUGAAAUAGAUAAAAGAUGGUCCUAUAAUCCAGCAACUCAUCAAAUGAUAUGUAUUAAUGAGCAAGACAGUGGAUUACCCAGUUUCUGCAUUUUUCUUAACCAAGAGGUCAUUUAAGAGCUAACAUCUUCAAAUUCUCCAUUAAGAGUGGAUCCUAGAAUAGCUGCAACACAAAUGGUGUUCUCAUCCACCAUUUCUGCAGCCUUUUCAGGGUCCAUCACAUAGUAGCUGUCUCUCAACUUGACCUCCUUCAGCUCCACUUCAAAUUACCUUGCAAAAAUGGUGGAUUAAUUUCUUGUUUAAUACAUGGAUCUAGUCAAUCUGGAUUAUUGACAUACAUUGAACCCGGUCCAUUUGAAUGAUUAUAAACCAAAAAAAAAGUAAAUCAACUUGAUGAAGUCUAAAUGAGGCAAACCUAAAUGUACUCCAAUGAAACCAGAUCAUGCAUUGAGUGAAAAUUGAUGGAACACGUGAAAUUAAUUCAUGUUAAUCAGAAGAAGUAAAACAUAAUCUAGGACUUUAUAUAAAAAGCUAUAGAAAUUAAGAUCAAUAGGCUUGUUCUGUAAGAUCUCAUAAGAUCCUCUACAUUUUCCCCAUUUCAAAAGAUUAUAAUUCAUUUGAUUGCUUAUUAUUUCCGACACUAAAACACCAAAGCUACUUUCACCAGGCUAGAUAGAAAAUUUGAAACUUUGCAUACCGAUAGAGUCAUUUACGUAAAUUCAACAUGUUUAAUGUGUUGAAGAAUUCCAAGCCUGAAAGAACACAACACGAUCAAAUGUGAUUAUUCUUUAAGCAUUAAUAUCUAAGUAGACCUUAAAAUCCCAAACUUUGCCGUAUCAAUAUCCUAUAUCAGGGGCAGAGCCACUUGGAUCCCUGGUACUCCAUGGCUACCCUGUAUCAAGGGCGGAGCUACAUGGAGCCGUAUAUAGAGUUUCUAUGUUAUUUGUUUUGGUAAAAUUAGUUAGUUGAUCUUUGAGAAGCAAAAAAGAUGAGAGUUGCAACUGUAUCAAAAAAGCAGAUGAAAGAUUGAUUAUUAAUAUAGGAAUAUAUAUUUUGUUCAGUACAGAUCUCAUGAUUGUACGACUGAAAGGAAAAGACACGGGCAACUUAAUUCAUGAAUUAAAGGUAUAUGCAUUCAUUAUGUUAAAAAUACUUCCUUUGAUUGUCUGUGCCAUUUUUUACUAUCAAAUAGAGCAGUUUUCAUGUUAUAACAGUUUCAACAGAAGUUUUUACCUGCACAAUAGCUGGUGAAGACACGUUACCUUCCUUUAUCGCCGCUAAUUUUAGCAACUCUCCGCACAUAUUAUGAGGACCAUCAGAUCUGUCUAUGCAACUGUAAAAAUGUAUUAUAGAAUAAUCAGAAUAUGUGUGAUCCGUAGGGCCAGUGGUUCCAUUAAAAAUCUAUAGUCAUAGUAGAUGCUACCUGCAGCCUGCAAAUUUGAGGGCCAGUGGCCCCUUCUCACUCUGACAUGUACCACAUCCUUCAGUUUCUCUUCAUCCUUAUCACUGCUUUUCGAACUUUUACCCCUUCCACAGCUCUGUUUACAGUAAAUCAAAGAUAAGACCAAAAAUUCAAUUCAUUCAUAAACAGAGCAAUUAAGCUAGUAACAAUUUUUCAUAACUAAUGCAAGAUUCUACACUUAAUUUACGAUACAUUUUUUCACCUGCUUCCGCUUUCAGAAGCCUGAGGAGUUGAGUUAUCAGAACAGCUUUCAGAUUCUUGCAUGACAUUUUUAUGAUCUUCCGAAAAAUGUGGAAAAUUAUCUGCCAAGUUACCAGGGAAUUCAAGCACUUAUGUAAUGAAAUUGUCGAAAGGAAAGCCUGCCCAGCUAGUAAAAUUAGAGUUUGAGGUGUGCAUGACACUUGGAUUUAAUUGCAUGAGCUGAUUCAUGAUGAGGUCAACAUUUGGAUCAAACUCAAGCAAAGAAAAGUGGUGAGUUAAAGGUCUGCAUAUCUGAUGUGUAUUGAUACUUAAAUUCACGUAAUGCAUGACAUGUUUAACAAUUAUUAAAUUUUUAGUCACAAACGCUGGUGACGUUCUUUGAUUUUCAUCAACACUUUAAUCGACCAAUAAUAUUAAUAUUAAAGGGCUGUUUGGGCAAACUUAAAAAAAAUAAAAUUUGCUUAAGAUAAAGAAGCGGAUUAGAAUUGAAAAGUAAAUAAGUUAAUAAAGUGUUUGGAAAAGAAGCAGAAGCUGAUAAGCUAACAUCCUCAGCUUUUUAAAGGUGCUUCUACUUAUUUACACAAACGGGUCAAGAAAAACAGAAGCCAUAAGGAGUUUCUGGUUCUUGAUUACAAACAUGCCCUAAGACUGCCACAUAACAUUCAAGCUCAACUUUUGUCCCAGCUUCUGUGAUCAUUUCAUUUUCUACCGGUUUCAACUCCCGUCUGAAUAUACCAUUAAGAAAGAUAUUACGAGACUAUUUGACCGACUUUAAAAUUGUAACUACUGACUUCUGAUUUUAAAUUAAUAGUACUUCUAGAGUACAUAGUGCAUCUUGUUCCUCAUGGAGCAUUUCAGACUCCUUUGAAAUCAUAAAUGCACUAUGUACUCUAGAAGUACUUCAUCACUGAUAUUAGACAGGUGCCUAUUGUUUAUACAUUAGAGAACUAACCUUUCUGCUUAUUGUUUCCAGUACUGUGUUGCUGUCAUAUAACUCCUCAAGAACCGAAAACAUUUUUCCAGAAUCUUUGCAACUUCGGACAUCUGCUGAUUUUUAACAACUCAAGUCUCUGAAAUGCACUUUGAUCUUUACCCUAGGUACUCAUAACUGGUUAUACCCAUACUUAAAGCGUUGGCAAAUCAAAAUACAUUUCGAUGAGCACGACACAAUUGGCUUCAAAAAUCUUCCUCCCUGAUGCAAGAAGUACAUCCAAUAUAUAAUCAAAUAUGGUAGAGACCCUAAAAGAUUUCUAAAGUUAAAAUGGAUCAACUUUUUAUAGUUCUGUAUCAAUUUGGACCCAGAGCCCCAAUUAAAAUUUGCACACUGGUAAUUUUGAACCAUUUUGGGAAAAGAAAACCUUCAGCAUUGCUCUUUAUAUAAGAAGCAAAUCAUCAAUUAUUAUAUUAAUCGAAAAAGAAUACCAGUGUAUACGUGGAAUAUGUUGAAUUCUGAACCAUUCUGGCCGUCCCUUCAUAUAUUUUUCUCUCAGAAGAGGACACCCUUCCGUCUCUAGCAACUGAAGAGGAUGCGAUUUUUCAAACAGGGGCAAAGUCUUCAAAUUCUCACAAUCAAAUAUAAGUAACGUCUCGAGAGAUGGAAGCUUUGCUAUUGAAUCUGAGAGAGCUUUCACUCCUUUGAAAUUAUUUAUUCUCAAUUCAGUUAAUGCAGGGAAGGUGGAGGAGAGGCGAUUAUCAAGUUGCCCGAAUAUUGAUUCAACCUUUUUCCACCCGUCCAAUGAUAGUUUCUUUAGACUAUGAAAUGAAACCACGCAAGAAGAAGAGAAUGGCCAUGGAAAUUCAUCUAAAUCCUCUGAGAAAGGGCCUAAGCUUAGUCUAUCAAGUGUGGAACUCCUAGUUUGCGCAAAUACCCGCUCUAAGAGAGAGGAGGGGCAUUUCCAGAUCUCAAUAUCUUUUAGACCAACUGACCCUUCAACUAGAUUAAUAUUACUUGGCCGAGGACAUUUUAAACCCCCACAGUCGAUUAGCCUCAAAGAGGUCAGACACAGAGAAUUGUUCUUUAACAUCUCCUCAAUCAUAAAGUCCAUAUUUGAACAAGAAGAGGAAGAAGAUGAUGAUGAAUCUCCUCCAUUGCUGAUAUUGAGAAGUUCUAGAUGCUUGAGAGAGGCUAUGUUACUCCGACUCUUCUAUUUAGGUUGCCGUACCCGUGUCGGACACUUGGACACUCGGACACGACACUUAUUUCGUGUCGGAUCCUUUGACUAAAAUGUGGACACUUUGACCAAUUUAAAAAUCAAAUAUGAGUAAAACUUACAAUUGAAAAGAAAUAUGUGAGAAAAAAGAAAGAAGCAAAAAUGAGAUUUAAGUACAAAAGACGCUUAAUUUGCAAAAUCCCUUACAAAUUCAUGUCUAAUAUGAGUUUUAUUGUUACUUUUUGUUAAGAUGUCUAACUUACCAUACUUGUUUAUUAGUAUAUUACGAUGUGUCCCCGUACCCGUGUCCAAAAAUAGGACAGUGUCCCCGUGUCUCCAAUUUCCAUAGUUCUGAAGUCCGACACUCGAAUAUGUGUCGUGUCCGACACUCCGUACCCGAGUCCGAGUAACAUAGGAGAGAGGUAACCUUUUUGCUCAUUGUUUCCACUAUCACGCUGCUGUCCAAAUCAGUGAUUUUGAGCUCCUUCAAGGCCGGAAAACAAAUAUUUGGAAUCUUGCUUAACCUUGGACAAUACAUAAUUUCCAAACUCUCAAGUUUAGGAAAUACACUUUGGUCAUGACUCCCUGUGCUCAUCACUUCUUCUGUCCAUUCUUCUAGCUUUUCCAGCCUAUACAAAGUGAUAGUCAUGAGCGACGGAUACAUAGUUGUCACUGUCUUCGUGGCUGCACUGUCUAGACUUUCCAAUAAAUAAUUCCCCAUAACCUUCAAAUUUUCCAUCCCCUGUAAAUUUAUCUUCUUUAGCUUGGGAAGCUGACCCAGUGAUGGAAAUUCUGUGCAUCUGUUGCAACCAACCAACAAGAUUUUCACCAAGUUGUUCAUCAUUGUGAUCCAAGAUGAAAACUUCUUUCCCAUAUAGCAGUAAAUAAUCAAUUCUUUAAGAUUCGGGUGAGGUUCCAAUCCUUUCAUCACACCAUCAUCUUUGUUUUCCCCGUCUUCCCGGAAAGCACCAAUAUUUUUGUUCCAAUUUAAAACUAAAACCUCAAUAUUAGACUUUUCACGAAGCUUUGCCCUGCUUGCUUCUUCCAUAUUUGCCACGUCGCCAAGGCCAUGGAGUUGAAGCUCACCUCUAAGGUUUUUUAGUCCUCCCAAAUGUUCAACAAGACAAUUUUGAUCUUUAUUCACAACAAAAUAAGGCAGUGUUUGCAAAUGACUUAGUCUCUCUAUCCCGACAAAUACGUAUCUUGACCUGUGAUUGGGAAUUACAAGAUGUCGCAAGUUUAUAAGGUUACAGACCUUUUCUGGAAGUUCAUGGUAGUAUGAAAUUCUCAAAGUCUGCAAGCUGAAAAGUCUCGUGAUGUAAUAUGGCAAUGUAACAGUAGUUUUUUGUCCCCGAGCAUUUGAAAUAUCGAGAUGCUUAAGGCAUUUUAAAUUUGUUACUGAACUAGGAAACUCCUCACAAAAUGAAUUCAAAACCAAAACUCUCAAGUGUUUGAGGUUCGGUAACAGGACAUUAAAAAUAUCGGCCUCUGCACUAUUAAAAAUAUCGGCCUCUGCAUAUAGUGCUUGUACCGCAUCUAAGUGCGCCUCCUGAAAAAUAUUUUGUUUUACAUCUUCAAACCCUUCCAGCCUUACCUGUGUAGCUUUUCUGACCUUGUUGAAAUCCUGACUUGGCUUCACUAUAGCGGAAAUAUUACUUGACACAUCUAGUGCAAGAUCAUGUACAAGAUCAUGCAUCUUGCAUUUGGUAAUGUUUCCAUAUUCAUCUCUUUCCACAUCCUGUAACAAAGAAUUCGACAAGAGAAUGUCAAAGUACUCGUUUCCGAUGACCUCCAUCAAAACAUUACUAUCUUCCAAAAGGAAUCCUAAUGCCAUCCAUACUUGUAUCAGUUCAUCCUUAUAUAUGUCAGAAUCCUUUGGCAUAAUAGAGCAAUAUGCAAAACAUCGCUUCAAAGAUGAAUUAGGUAAAUUAUCAUAUGAUAAUCUCAAGGAAGGGAGUACACUUGUCGAUUUCCAUAGUUCACUAUUUUGAAUGUGCAACCACUGCUGUUCAGUCUUCUUUGAGUACAAUAAACUUCCUAGUGUUUUUACUGCUAGAGGCAGACCGCUACAUCUUUCUACCAUUCUUUUCCCCAAGGCCACAAAUGCCUCGGUCUGCAACGCUCCUCCAUCUGAAAAUGCUCUUUGCUUGAACAAUUCCCAACUAUCUUCCUCGGAUAGUUUUGCCACCUUAUAAGGAUCAGAGCAUCGCAUAGCAUCAAGGACUUCCUGCUUACGAGUGGUAAUUAAAAUAUUGCUACCUCUUGCACCGCCAACUCCAAGCAAAGAAUUUCUCAACUUCUCCCACUCCUCUGGUUUCCCAUCCCAUACAUCAUCUAGUACAAGUAAAAACUUUUCGCCCUUUAGGUUUUUCUGAAGAUCUUUGAUCAACCCUUCCGCAUUUUCCAAUGCAGAAGCCUUUGAAGUGAGAGAUACUACCAUUUGAUUCAGAAUCUUGAUGAAAUCAAAAUUAUCUGAUACAGUGACCCACAUCCUUUUAGGGAACAUAUUAAUUACAACAUCUUUAUUGUAAACCAUUCGAGCAAGAGUUGUCUUGCCUAGACCUCACAUCCCUAGUAUUGCAUUCACCGGUAAACCCUCACCAUUUUUGUUGCACAACAUAUUAACCAAAGAUGAUAUAUCUUUGUCCCUUCCGACAAUUAGGGACUCGUCUUCAAAAGGUGGGGUGUUGCGUAUCUCUCUACGUUGCACAGUAGAUCUUAAGUGCUCUACUGGAUGAAGACCAAUAUCAGUAGCCCAUUUACAAAUCUUGUCAAAGGAAGCAUUAAUAUUCUUGAUCUUAUGAGCCACUUUGGAACGAUAUAAUAAGGUGUUUUUAGAAGGAACAAAGCCUUAUGACGAUUCUCCACUUUUCUUCGGGUAACUUCAUACUCGAGUUCAUCCAUAAAAGAGCAACUUGUUCAAGCUUGUUAAACCACAGUUGGGCAGUAGACAUGUUUAAAUUCUGGGUAUGAGCCUCAUUCAAGAGAGCACCAAUUAGCUCAAACCUUUCACGCAGUGUAUCCAGAUCUUCAUGAAACUUCCAAGCCUGAAUCAACUCAUUGGUUGCCAGUGAAACAAGCUUGCGAACCAGUCCAGCAGCAAGAUCAGCUCCAGUUGCUUCAGCCAUUUUUUCUAGUCAGCUUCUUUAGUGUAUUAUUUCAGGAUUUUGAAAAUGGGGUACAAGUUUUUAAUAAAAAUUCGCAACAAAUGAAAUUUAAUCUAUUGACAAAUCACACUUAUACCUUUUUCCUGUUAGUUUUCACUGACCCAAAUCGAUGUUUAAAAUUGUGCAAUGUGUUGAAAUACAGAUAUAUGAACAAAUUCAAACCAAAAAAUUAAAAAAUUAAAAAUAAAAAUGGAGUAAGAUUGAUGGUCAAUAGAGAUUCGAAAAUAUGGAUGAAAAAGAAGCAUGAAAAUUGAGAAAGUAAAAUAUUGGUGACACUAUUUUGGAACAAGUUUCCGCCUAAUAUAGAAAAUGCUUGAUAACCAAACCACAGACACAGCUUAGUUUUCUAACUCUAUUAUAGCAUCUUUUUCUUCAUUGUUGUAAAGAAAAAAGUUUGCAGUCAGCAGAAAGAACAAGAGAUUAAUGAAAAGCUCAAAACAGCAUAAAAUGCAUAGAAAUAGUCCAACCGAGACCCAUUCAAGUUGUCCAAAAUCCAGCCAUUAUGUGGGACGAUAGGACAACAAAGUGCGUACUCAUUAUUCAUCGGUGCUAGCGAAAAAGGGCCACACUUGUGCAAUAUCUUUAGAUCAUAAAGUAUCCCCGUGCCAAGUCCACAUCUCACCAUCCCUGAUUUAAAAAAAAUUAAGAAAUUUCAGUGAAGCAUUAAAAAUGGAGACAGAAAUAAGUAGUAGUACUGAAACAUAGAGUGAUAAGUUUACCAUAUGACAUGUGCAAUAUGUUGAAUCUUGAACCAUUCUGGCCCGCUCUCUUUUCUACAUCUUUCUUUCAGAAUUGGACACCCUCUUAUCUCUAGAUAUCGGAGGCAAUGAGAUUCAUCAAACAGAGACACUCUCUCCAAAUCCUUACAAUUCUCAAUAGAUAAGUCCUUAAGAGAUGGAAGCUUUGCUAUUGACAGGACAAGAGUCUUCAUACCUCCGAAAUUAUGUAUAACUAAUUGAGUCAAGGCAGGGAAGGUGGAGAACUGAAGCUGCUCAAAGAGCGCUAUUGACUUUACAUUUUCCAACCCUCGCAGAAAAAGCACAACUAGGUUAGGGAAUGAAUCUAAUGAAGAAGGGAAUGGCCACGGAAAUUCAUCCCAGAAGGGACCUAACCGUAAGUGUGUAAGUGUGGAACUCUGAAUUUGGGCGGAUAUUCCAUCUACAAGAGAGGAGGGGACCCUCACUAGUGCGAGAUGUUUUAGACCAGCUGAUCCUUCAACUAUAUUAACACUUGCUAGAUUCGGGCAGUCAAAGAGUAGUAAUGAGGUCAAAGACAGAGAAUUAUUUUUUAAUAGCACUUUGAGUAUUGAUUCCAAGUUGGAGCAAGAAGAAGAUGAUGAUAAAUGCCCUCCUCCGUCGCUGAUUUUCCGCAGGUGUAAAGUGGUGAGUGAGCUAAGAUGCAUAUACAUAGUUUCCAGUAUCAUGUUGCUCUCCGAAUUUGUGAUACUCAAAUCUUUCAAGGACGGAAAACAGCUAUUCAGGAUCUUUCUCAACCUUGGACAAUCUGAGAUUUCCAACUUCUCAAGUUUAGGAAAUACAGUUUGGUCUUUACUGAAAAUGUCUUCCACCCAUUCUUCUAGCUUUGGCAAUUUCCGCAAAAUCAGUUUUGUCACUGACGGAUACAUUGCUGCUGUGUCUGGUUUUUGGGCCAGAUUUAGGCCUCCACAUAAAUUAUUUCCUAUAACCUUGACAUUUUCCAUCUUCUCUAUACAUAUCUUUCUCAGUUUAGGAAGGUGACCCAGUGGAGGAAAUCCUUCGCACCUGCUGCAAUCUGUCAUGGCGAUUUUCACCAUGUUGGUCAUCAUUGGGAUCCAUGACGCAAAUUUCUUUCCCAUAAAGUCUUCAAUUUCCAAUGCUUUGAGAUUUGGGUGGGGUUCCAAUCCUUCCAACACACCCUCAUCAGUGUAUUCUCCGUCUUCCCUUUCAUCUUCAUUGCUCCUCCAGUUCAACAGUAAAUGUCGAAUAUUGGACUUUUCACAAAGCUUUGCUUUACGUGCUUCUUCAAUAUUCUCCACCUCAUUAAGGCCAUAGAGUUUAAGCGUACCUCUAAGAUUUUUUAACAUUCCAAGUUGUCCAACGAGACAGUUUUGAUUUUUCUUCACAACAAAAUAAGGCAGCGUUUGCAAACAAGUUAACCUUUCAAUCCCAACAAACAUGUAUCUUGUUUUAGUAUUGCCAAUAACAAGAUGUCUCAAGUUUACAAGUUGGCAGAUGUUUUCCGGAAGCUCAUGAAGCGAUGAAAUUCUAAGAGUCUGUAAGUUGUAGAGCCUUGUAACUUGGUUUGGCAGUUUAUAGCUGAUAUUUGAAUAUGCAAUCCUAGAGACAUCUAAAUGCUUAAGGCAUUUCAAAUUCCCAAUUAAACCAGGCAGCUCCUCACAAAAUGAAUUUAAAACCAAAACUCUCAAGUACUUGAGUUUGGGUAGCACACAGUAAAAUAUAGUGGCCUCUGCAUAUAGUGCUUGUAUUGUAUCAAAGCGUAGCUUAAACAUACUUGGUUUUACAUCUUUGAAUCCUUCCAGCCUUAAAUAUGUAGCCUUUGAUCCCUUGUUAACAUCAUGACUUGGAUUUGCAGUAAUAGAAUAAUUACUUGACACCUCAAGUGCAAGAUCAUGCACAAGAUCAUGCAUCUUGCAGUUGGUAAUAUAUCCAUAUUUAUCCUUUUCCACAUCUUGUAACAAAGAAUUCCCCAACAGAAUGUCAAAGUACUCAUUUCCAGUGUCUUCCAUCAAGACAGUGCCAUCCCCCGGAAGGAAUCCUAAUGCCAUCCAUAUUUGUAUCAAUUUAUCUUUAUAAAUAUAAUGAUCCUUUGGCAUAAUGGAACAAUAUGCAAAACAUCGCUUCAAAGAAGAGCAAGGUAGAUUGUCAUAUGACAGCCUUAAGGAAGACAGUACACCUCUUGAUUUCCAUAUUUCACUGUUUUGGAUUAGCAACCACUCUUCUUCAGUCUUCUUUGAGUACAAUAAACUCCCUAGUGUUUUAAUUGCGAGAGGAAGACCGCCACAUCUUUCUACCAUUGUUUUACCCAAGGCAAUAAAUGCCUCUGUGUCUAAAACUCCUCUNCAAGGCAGGGAAGGUGGAGAACUGAAGCUGCUCAAAGAGCGCUAUUGACUUUACAUUUUCCAACCCUCGCAGAAAAAGCACAACUAGGUUAGGGAAUGAAUCUAAUGAAGAAGGGAAUGGCCACGGAAAUUCAUCCCAGAAGGGACCUAACCGUAAGUGUGUAAGUGUGGAACUCUGAAUUUGGGCGGAUAUUCCAUCUACAAGAGAGGAGGGGACCCUCACUAGUGCGAGAUGUUUUAGACCAGCUGAUCCUUCAACUAUAUUAACACUUGCUAGAUUCGGGCAGUCAAAGAGUAGUAAUGAGGUCAAAGACAGAGAAUUAUUUUUUAAUAGCACUUUGAGUAUUGAUUCCAAGUUGGAGCAAGAAGAAGAUGAUGAUAAAUGCCCUCCUCCGUCGCUGAUUUUCCGCAGGUGUAAAGUGGUGAGUGAGCUAAGAUGCAUAUACAUAGUUUCCAGUAUCAUGUUGCUCUCCGAAUUUGUGAUACUCAAAUCUUUCAAGGACGGAAAACAGCUAUUCAGGAUCUUUCUCAACCUUGGACAAUCUGAGAUUUCCAACUUCUCAAGUUUAGGAAAUACAGUUUGGUCUUUACUGAAAAUGUCUUCCACCCAUUCUUCUAGCUUUGGCAAUUUCCGCAAAAUCAGUUUUGUCACUGACGGAUACAUUGCUGCUGUGUCUGGUUUUUGGGCCAGAUUUAGGCCUCCACAUAAAUUAUUUCCUAUAACCUUGACAUUUUCCAUCUUCUCUAUACAUAUCUUUCUCAGUUUAGGAAGGUGACCCAGUGGAGGAAAUCCUUCGCACCUGCUGCAAUCUGUCAUGGCGAUUUUCACCAUGUUGGUCAUCAUUGGGAUCCAUGACGCAAAUUUCUUUCCCAUAAAGUCUUCAAUUUCCAAUGCUUUGAGAUUUGGGUGGGGUUCCAAUCCUUCCAACACACCCUCAUCAGUGUAUUCUCCGUCUUCCCUUUCAUCUUCAUUGCUCCUCCAGUUCAACAGUAAAUGUCGAAUAUUGGACUUUUCACAAAGCUUUGCUUUACGUGCUUCUUCAAUAUUCUCCACCUCAUUAAGGCCAUAGAGUUUAAGCGUACCUCUAAGAUUUUUUAACAUUCCAAGUUGUCCAACGAGACAGUUUUGAUUUUUCUUCACAACAAAAUAAGGCAGCGUUUGCAAACAAGUUAACCUUUCAAUCCCAACAAACAUGUAUCUUGUUUUAGUAUUGCCAAUAACAAGAUGUCUCAAGUUUACAAGUUGGCAGAUGUUUUCCGGAAGCUCAUGAAGCGAUGAAAUUCUAAGAGUCUGUAAGUUGUAGAGCCUUGUAACUUGGUUUGGCAGUUUAUAGCUGAUAUUUGAAUAUGCAAUCCUAGAGACAUCUAAAUGCUUAAGGCAUUUCAAAUUCCCAAUUAAACCAGGCAGCUCCUCACAAAAUGAAUUUAAAACCAAAACUCUCAAGUACUUGAGUUUGGGUAGCACACAGUAAAAUAUAGUGGCCUCUGCAUAUAGUGCUUGUAUUGUAUCAAAGCGUAGCUUAAACAUACUUGGUUUUACAUCUUUGAAUCCUUCCAGCCUUAAAUAUGUAGCCUUUGAUCCCUUGUUAACAUCAUGACUUGGAUUUGCAGUAAUAGAAUAAUUACUUGACACCUCAAGUGCAAGAUCAUGCACAAGAUCAUGCAUCUUGCAGUUGGUAAUAUAUCCAUAUUUAUCCUUUUCCACAUCUUGUAACAAAGAAUUCCCCAACAGAAUGUCAAAGUACUCAUUUCCAGUGUCUUCCAUCAAGACAGUGCCAUCCCCCGGAAGGAAUCCUAAUGCCAUCCAUAUUUGUAUCAAUUUAUCUUUAUAAAUAUAAUGAUCCUUUGGCAUAAUGGAACAAUAUGCAAAACAUCGCUUCAAAGAAGAGCAAGGUAGAUUGUCAUAUGACAGCCUUAAGGAAGACAGUACACCUCUUGAUUUCCAUAUUUCACUGUUUUGGAUUAGCAACCACUCUUCUUCAGUCUUCUUUGAGUACAAUAAACUCCCUAGUGUUUUAAUUGCGAGAGGAAGACCGCCACAUCUUUCUACCAUUGUUUUACCCAAGGCAAUAAAUGCCUCUGUGUCUAAAACUCCUCUAUUCAAAAAUGCUCUUUGCUUAAACAAUUCCCAACUAUCUUCCUCUGUUAGUUUUUUCACCAGAUAAGGAUCAGAACACUGCGUAGCAUCAACCACUUCCUGCUUCCGAGUGGUGACAAAAAUUUUGCUGCCUCUCGCACCCCCAACUCCAAGCAAAGAAUUCCUCAACUUGUCCCACUCUUCUGGAUUCUCAUUCCAAACAUCAUCUAGCACAAGUAAAAACUUUUCGCCCUUCAGCUUUUUUUGAAGAUUUUUGAUCAGACCUUCUGGAUUAUCCAACACAGAAGGGCUUGAAGUGAGUGACACCACCAUUUGAUUUAAAAUCUUAAUGAAAUCAAAAUCAUCUGAUACAGUGACCCACAUCCUCUUGGGAAACAUGUUGAUCACAGCAUCUCUAUUGUAAACUAUGCGGGCAAGAGUUGUUUUGCCUUGACCACCCAUCCCGAGUAUUGCAUUCACCUGUAAACCCUCAUCAUUUUGGUUGCACAACAUGUUAACUAGAAAUGAUAUAUCAUCAUCUCUUCCGACAAUCAGCGACUCGUCUUCAAAGGGUUGGGUGUAGCGUAUCUCUCUGUGUUGUACAGUAGAUCUCAAAUGCUCUACUGGCUUAAGUCCAAUAACAGUAGCCCAUUUACAGAUCUUGUCAAAGGAAGUAUUAAUAUUCUUGAUCUUAUGAGCCACUUUGAAACGAUAUAAUAAGGAGUUUUUAGAAGGAGUGAAGAAGUCUUUUACCCUGUGACGAUUCUCAACUUUUCUUCGAGAAACUUCAUACUCGAGUUCAUCCAUAAAAGCUUCAGCCACCUGAGCCACUUCUUCAAGUUUGUUGAACCAAAUUUUGGCACUAGACAUGAUUAAAUUCUUGUUUUGAGCGUCAUGCAAGAGAGCACCGAACGAUUCAAAUCUCUGACGCAGUGUCUUCAAAUCUUCGUCAAGUUUCCAGAUCUGAAUCACUUCAUCAGUUGCAAGUGAAAUUAGCUUUCGGACCAGUCCAGCAGAAAGAUCAUCUACAAUUGCUUCAGCCAUUGCUCUCAAUCUUUCUUGUUUCUUCAGCGAGAUGUGCAAGUGGUGAUGGUUGUAAGGACAAUUGCUUGAGAUGGUUGUAAGAUCAUCUUAUUGAUUGCUCCGUCCGGUUUAUAUAUUUGCAGAAUUGCAGAUUUACGGGCAUUGUAAAAGCAGCCCGCCGUUUUCCGGGGUUAUAAAUAAAAAACGUACGCUUUGCCUAAAGUGUUUUAAAUUUCGAUUUUAUAAAUGAUAAUAUGACAAGUUCAAAUUUAAUUCCCGAUUUUAUAAGUGACACAAGUUGAAACUUAAUUUUGUUUGUGACUUAUUUUAUUUUAGAAAAUUUGAUUUUACAAAUAUAUAAAUAAUCAUUCUAAAAUAUAAUUUAUCAGAUUUUAUUAUUAUAUCAAUAAUUUUAUACUCGAUAAGUUGUUGAAUCAAAAUAUUUAUAAAAAAUAAAUAACUUAAAAGUUAUUUUGCACUUAUAUAAAUGAUAUACCUUAAUAAGUAACUAGCUUUAUAGCCCGUGCGUGGCACGGGCAUGCUCUAAACAUUUCUAUAUUUAAGUUUAUGCGGUGUUUUUGUAUGUUUUGAAAAUGUAAUGCAUAAACAGGCAAGAAAACAUCUAUCAAAGUGGAUUAAAAAAGAUCACCACAAACCAGUUACAUGGAUGAUGCCUCCGAAAGAAAAUAAGCGAAGAACUGAUGAUAUUAUAUAUGUAACACCCCAGUCCCACAUCGAGAAGAGUGAGAAUAUUUGUUCAGUUUAUAAGCAUAAAUAUUACUACUAAUUGCACCAACAAAUCAUGAUCUUUUGUGGGCCUGUGGUGGGCUUGUAAAUUACCCAAGUUGUUGUAGUUGGGCCAGUUUAUUUCGGCUUAUUUUCGGAUUCAGAUUCGGAUUUCGGGACUUGACCUGAUUUUUGAAAAAAACUCGGGAUUUGACCCGGUUGUCACAUAUGGUAUUAGAGCGAGGUUCUCGAAAGCUUGAUUCGUCAAGUUGCCGGAGGUGGGGACACAAAGGCUGGUGGUAUUAUCCUGCAAUGGACAGAGAUCCGAAGGCGGGGACACGAAACCAGCCAGUAUUAUCCCACAAUGGCUAGAGAGGUUCGAUCUGGGCCUAUGGGCUAUCCGUUUCGGCCUGACGAGGACGUCAGGAAUUUAAGUGGGGGAGUUUGUUACACCCCAGUCCCACAUCGAGAAGAGUGGGAAUAUUUGUUCAGUUUAUAAACAUAAGUAUAACUACUAAUUGCACCAACAAAUCAUGAUCUUUUGUGGGCCUGUGGUGGGCUUGUGAAUUACCCAAGUUGUUGCAGUUGAGCUAGUUUAUUUCGGCUUAUUUUCGGAUACGGAUUUCGGGACUUGACCAGAUUUUCGAAAAAGACUCGGGAUUUGACCCGGUUGUCACAAUAUACUAUACUAUGAAAUAAAUUUAUUGACAAUUAAACUCCAGCUACACUAAAUCAAAUCAGCAUGAUCAGAACCCUUAACAUUGAUGCAUAUGAAAAUUCAUGGAACAGCAACCCAUUAUUGUAAUUAUGUGUGCAUAGUCUUUUUGACAAAAUAACUUGUUUAAUCUAUUAAUACAUAUGAUAACUACUUUAUAUAAAUUCUUUACUAAUCAUAACAUAUAACUACAGUUGCUUAACUACAUCAUAUCAAUUCUUUACUAACCAUAAAAUAUAACUCGAAAUGCCUUUAACUAUUAUAUAUUGGUUCAUUCUUUGGUUUCAGUGCAUUAACUUAAUGAAUUAGAUAAAUUCUUUAGUAAUCAUAACAUAUCACUUUUUGCCUAACUACAUUAGAUCAAUUGUUUACUAAUCAUAAAUAUAAUUCGAGUUGACUUAAUCGUAACUAAAUCAAAUUAGCAUGAUUAGAACUUUUAACAUUCAUGCAUGAAACCCUUAACAUUCAUGCAUAUGCAAAUUCAUAAAACAAUUAGUCAUUAUUGUAAUAUUAUGUGUGCAUAGUCUUUUUGACAAGAUACAGUAACUUAAUCUAUUAAAGAAUACGAUAACUACAUUAGAUAAAUUCUUUACUAAUCAUAACACAUAACUCGAGUUGUUUAACUCAUUAGAUCAAUUCUUUAUAAAUCAUAACAUAUAACUCGAGUUGUCUUUAACUACAGUAUAUUGGUUCACUCUUUGUUCUGAGUGCAUUAGUUUGAUGAAUUAUAUAAAUCUAAUUAAUCAUAACAUAUAACUCGAGUUGCCUAAAAUCAAUUCUUUACUAAUCAUAACCUACAACUUGAGUUGCCUCACCGUAUAUUGGUUCACUCUUUGCUUUGAGUGCACUAACUUGGUGAAUUCCUCGCAAAGAAUAUUUUUAUUUUGAAUAUGUAGUUAUUCGUAAUUAAUAAUGUAUAAUGAUUGAUGAAAUGAAUGAUAUUUUUGAGUAUUUUACAAAUAUUCUAAAGACACAUUCAUUCAAAAGUAUUAUUUUAUAAUAAUGUAUUAGAUAUUAUUAUUAUUAAAUAUUAUUCAUGUAUUUAUUAGUAAUUAUCAAUGUAUAAUAAUUGAUAAAAUGAUCUAAUGAUAACUGAAUUACUAUUGUUAGUAUUUGUUAGAUAUUAUUAAGGAGGAUAUAAUAAUUAGAUAUAAUUAAUAACAUAUAUUAAAUAUGUUGUUAUUAGUAGUUAAUCAUGUAUAAUGAUUGAUGAGAUGAUCUGAUAAUAAUUAAAUUACUCUCUCUGUUUUUUUUAUUCGACGCUUUAACUUUGAGCACACACUUUUAUGUUCUUUGACCAGAUAGUUAGAAAUAUUAUUUUUUUAAAUUUUCUUUCUCUGAAUAAAAAUAUAUAACUAAAACUUUUAUUCACCAAAAAAAUAAAUUAAAAAUAAUAACUUUUACUAUCCGGUCAACUCGUCUAAAGAAGUGUGCCUAAAGUCAACACGUCAAAUAGAAAAACCAGAGGGAUCAUUAGUAUUUGCUACAUACUCCCCCCGUCCCCCCCGACGGUAUAUACAUUGAGGGACGCGGCCGAACUUUAAUGCUCCUGCAAAGUGUAGUUGUGUAAAUUUUUUUUAUAAAUUUUCUUUUUCUGAAUUAAAAUUUGGAAUAUAAUUAAUAACAUAUAUUAAAUAUGUAGUAUAGCAGUUAAUAAUGUAUAAUGAUUGAUGAGAUGAUCUAAUGAUAAAAAAAUUACUCCCUCUGUUUUUUUAUUUGACGCUUUGACUUUGGGCACACUUUUAAGUGCUUUGACCCGGUAGUUAGAAAUAUUUUUUUUAAGUUUCUUUCUUUGAAUAAAAAUAUAUAACUAAAACUUUUAGGGUCGCGCUCAAGAGAGAACCAGUCCUUAAAAUAGAACCAUAGAACCACUGAGGUUCUGCUGCGGAACCCUAAAUUUUAAAUAGAUUUUUAGUAUCUAAAUCCAAAUACAUAUUUUUUUCAUAUUUUUUCAUCGUUGUGUGUGUUCUGAAAUAAUUUUAAAAUACAAUACAUAGAUAUUGACAUUUUUUGCAUGUGAAGUUCGGCUGCAGAACCCUAACUAAUACUUAAGUUCUGCUCCAGAACCCUACCUAAUACUACAAAUAAGGUAAGGGUUCUAUGAGUUCUCUAUCUAAUGGUUCUCUCUUGAACAUGACCCAAAACUUUUAUUCACAAAAAAAUAACUUAAAAAUAAUAAUUUUCACUACCCGGUCAAUCAUCUAAAGAAAAGUAAAAAAAAACAAACAGAGUGAUUAUUAGUAUUUGCGAGAUACUCCAUCCGUCCCCCUAGAUAGUACACACUGAGGGACGCGGACGCGUAGUUGCGUAAUUUUAUUGAGGAAAAAAAUCCUAAAAAAUAAGUUACGAAACUAUAUUUAAUAAGAACAUUGAAAUGUGUGUCAAGCAGUUGAAAAUAAACGUAUAGAAUUAAAUGGGACACUGGGUGUAUUAAUUAAGACAUAGUAAUUAGAUAUAAUCAAUGACAGAUAUUAGAUAUGUAGUUAUUAGUAAUUAAUAAUGUGUAAUAAAUUAAAUGAAAUAAUUAUUAGUGUAGAUAUUAAUGAGGAUAUUAAUGAUUAAAUUGGCUCACCAAAACCCAUGUUGUAGUAUUAUAUAUAUAAUUAGCACUGUAGCCCGUGCGAGGCACGGGCAUGUUCUCAUAUGCGUGAUGAAUAUUGUUAUUCUUGUUAUUGUUCGACAGUGUCAAAAAUAAAGAGUUUAAAUUUUAGAUCCUUGUUAUUGCAGUGUAGUGUAAACAUAUCUUUUAUUAUUAGAGUGCGAUAAUUGUUAGUUGUCCUUAAAAUAAUGUAAGCAAAGUGUCACAAUGAUAUUCCUGCAUCAGUGAAGUAUAACGUUGAUAUUCAAUUGGUUGUAGUGUAUCUUCCUCAUUCACCUUCAUUAUAUUAUAAUUUUUUUAAAUUUUUUUUGACUAUUUCGACCAUAAUUCACCUAAGAAUUUAAUUAAACUUAUAAUAUAUUGUCUCACUAUCUGUGGAAUAUCACACUAAUACUCCUCGACACAUGAAGUAUCACCCUGAUAGGUAACUGGUUGUGACGUAUCAUCAUGAUAAUUCUCUUAUAAUAAAAAAUUUGUAGAUAUUUAGGGUCCUCCUUAGCAAAGUAACACCUUUAUAUUCAACUGGUUGUGGCAUAUCAUCCUGAUAAUACUCUGAUAUUAGAGUAUGUAGUGGGUAGUUAAGGCCCCUUCUAAUUGAAUAUUUAUAUUUUGAUUAAAUAUAGUUGAAAAUUGAUUAUUUCAACCGGAAAUUUGCCAAAAACUUUAACCAAGUUUAUAAAUAUGUUGCUCCACUCAUAGUGGGAAAUACACUGAUACUCCUCUACCUGUGGAGUAUCACCUGAUACUUAACAGGUUACGAUAUAUUAUCAUGUUAAUCCUCUUACAAUCAAAGCUUUUGUCGAUAUUUAGAACAUUCUUUACUGAAUAUACUUGUUUUGGUUAAAUAUUGUUGAGUCACGGGCAUGUUGGGUAUUUAGGGCCUGAACUUACUGAAUAUUCAUAUUUUGGUUAAAUAUUGUUGAAAAUUGGGUAGUUUGGCUGGGCAUUUACAGAAGAAUUAAAUUAAGGUUUUUUUAUAAAUAUAUAAGUUUCACUCCGAGUGGAAUAUCACACUGAUACUCCUCUAUCAUCGGAGUAUCAUCCCAAUACUCAAUUAAUUAGACGUAUCACCAUGAUAAUACUCUUACAGUCAAAUAUUUUGCGCAUAUUUAGGACUUCUUUACUUAAUAUUCAUAAUUUAGUUAAAUAUUGUUGAGACACGGUCACACGGGAAUGUUCUCAUACGCGUGAUGGAUGUUGAUAUCUUGACGUUGUCCAAGUGUUAGGUUUGAAUUCUUGUUAUUGCAAGGUGAUGCAUUAACCAUUAUUAUGAAUUAGAUAUAGUCGUCCUUAUAAUAAUGCGAGUAAGGCAUCACACUGAUAUUCUUUUAUAAGUGGAAUAUCAUAUUGAUAUUUGGCUCGCUGUCCGUAUCAACACGAUAAUACUCUUGCAAUCAAAUAUUUUGCGAAUAUUUAGGACUUCUCUACUAAUUAUUCAUAAUUUGGUUAAAUAUUGUUGAGACACGGUCACACGGGAAUGUUCUCAUGCGCGUGCAUGUUGUUAUCUUGAUGUUGUCCAAGUGUUAGGUUUGAGAUCUUGUUAUUGCAGGGUGAUGCAUUAACCACUAAUAUGAAUUAGAUAUAGUUGUCCUUAUAAUAAUGCGAGCAAGGUAUCACACUGAUAUUCUUUUUCAAGUGGAGUAUCAUCAUAUUGAUAUUUAACUGGCUGUCGUGUAUAUGCUGCAAAACUCCGAAUGAAAUAUCACAUGAUAUUCAAUUGAUUGUGACGUAUCCUCAUAAUAAUCUUUUUACGGUAAAAUAUUUUAAAGGUAUUUAGGGCCCACAAAUAAUUUUAAUAAGCAUUCAUCCAAGAACUUAAUUAACGUAUUAUUGUUAAAAAUUAUGCAAAAUUAGAUUUUUUAACUUUAAAUUAGUUAGUGUGAUACAUGCUUUGACGAUGUAAUUGAUUACCUACCCAUUAAUAAUUAACAUAUUAUUUACAAAUUUAAUUAUGAAUAAAUUAAUAUGUUAGAUAUAAUCACACAUAUUAAUUAUAAAUAUUAAUUUAAUGUAUUAAUAAAGAAGGUAAACACAUCAAUUACAUGUCUAAUAAUGAAUUUAUUAAAGUCUUAGAUAUAAUUACAUGUAUUAAUUACAAGUUAUUAAUUAUAUGUAUCAAUGGAAGAGAUAUUAGUUGCAAGUGUAUUAAUGAAAGAGAGGGUUAAAAGAGUAAUUUACAUGGUGAAUAAAAUGUGGCAUGUUGGUCUAUUAUAUAUAUAAAUAGAUAGAUAGAUAAGCAUUUUUUUUAAAAUUAAAUCAAACGGUCCAAAAAUUUGAUUUGUUCUUAAAUAGUUUGAUUUCCGCACUUCACUGUUUGAGAUAUCAACAACCAUUUUUCUCUCACUUUUUUGAGUAAACUAAAUAUUCAUUUAUUUUAUCGGAGACCGAUCGUAUACUGGAUUUUUUAUAGGUUAGGCUGAUCCGAAUCCGUUAGAGUUGUAAAGUUGUAGAGAUGUAAUCUGGCAAUUUAUAACUCUUGCAUCCGAGAGAAUUUGAGAUAUCGAGAUGUUUAAUGAACUUGACAACUCAUUACAAAAUGACUUAAGAACGAGCACUCUCAGGGUCGUUUGGUUGGAGAGGAGGUAUGAGGUUGGAAUGAGGAAUCGGGUUAUCAGGUGUUUGGUUGAGUGGUGGAAUGAAUAUGGUUGAAUUAUAAUAUUUAUGAGUUAUUAACUGUAAUUAAUUUAAAAUAUCAUGAAAUUAAUAUUUGUAUACAUUUUUAAGUCAUUAAUUUCAUUUUGUGUUAAAAAUUUACAAGAAAUAAUAUAAAUAAUAAUGAAAAUAAAAGAAAAAAAAUUGAUUCCUGAAACGCAUAUUUCAUACCCACCUCCCCCUUGUUAUGAAAUUCUCAUACCUUGUGGGUUUGAGGAAUGAGUUUGAUGAAAUAAAAUUCUCAACCAGAUAUGGGUUUGGAAUGAACAAAACUCAUACCUGAUAUCACGGAAGCCUGAACCAAACGACCCCUCAAGUGUUUGAGGUUGGGUAAGAGGACACUGAAAAUACUAGCCUGUGAGUAUAGUGAUUGUACUGUAUAAAAGUAGGCCUUGUAGAUAUUUGGUUUUAAAUCCUCAAACCCCUCCAGCCUUACAUGAAUUGCCUGAGAAAGCUGGUUAGAAUCCUGACUUGGUGUUACGGUUUGGGAGUGAUUAGUUGACACAUCUACAGCAAGAUCAUGCAUUUUGCAACAGGUGAUAUUGCCAUAUUCAUCCGUUUCCACGUCUUGUAACAAAGAAUUCGACAACAAAAUGUUGAAGUAUUCACUGCCUACGUCCUCCAUCAGCAAAUUGGUAUCUCCAGGAGACAAAAGGAAUCCUAAUGCCAUACAUAUAUGUACCAUUUCAUCUUUAUAUAUAAGAGAAUCCUUGGAAAGAACAGAAAAAUAUGCAAAACAUCUUUUCAAAGAUGAAUAUGGUAAAUUGUCAUAUGACAACCUCAAGGAUGAUAAUACCCCUUUUGAUUUCCAUACUUCACUGUUUAAGAUCAACAGCCACUCUUCCUCCGACUUCUUUGAGUACAAUAAACCCCCUAAUGUUUUUAUUGCCAGAGGCAGGCCGCCACACCUUUCCACCAUUCUUCUUCCCAAGUCUACAAAUUCCCUGGUCUCUAAAACUCCUCCAUGUGUAAAUGCUCUUUGCUUGAAUAGUGCCCAACUAUAUUCUUCUGAAAGUUUUUCGACCCUAUAACAAACAGAACAUUGCAUGGCAUCGAUGACUUCCUGGUUACGCGUGGUAACUAGAAUGCUGCUUCCUUUCGCACAACCAACCCCAAGCAAAGAAUUCAUCAAGCUAUCCCACUUAUCUGCUUUCUCAUUCCAUACAUCAUCCAGUACAAGUAAAACCUUUACCCCCUUUAGAUGUUUUUGAAGAUUUUUUUAUCACUGCUUCAGUGUUAUCCAACACUGAAGUGGUUGAAGUAAGCGAUCCUACCAUCUGAUUCAAAAUCUUCAUGAAAUCAAAAUCAUCUGAUAUAGUAACCCAUAUCCUUCUUGAAAAUAUAUUGAUCACAACGUCUUUAUUGUAGACCACACGAGCAAGAGUUGUCUUACCUUGACCCCCCAUCCCUGCUACAGCAACGACCAGUAAAUCCUCAUCAUGAAUUUUGGACAAGACAUGAACUAAAUUUGAUACAUCUUCAUCUCUUCCGACUACUUGUGUCUCGACUUCAAAGGGCGCAGUGUGACGGAUCUCUCUCACUUGUACAGUUGCACUCAAUUGUGCUAUGGGCUGCAGUCCAAGAUCUGCCGCCCAUUUAAAAAUCUUGUCAAAGGAUUUAUGAAUAGUCUUGAUCUUAUUAGCCGCAGAUCUUGUUAUUGCAGGGUGAUGCAUUAACCACUAAUAUGAAUUAGAUAUAGUUGUCCUUAUAAUAAUGCGAGCAAGGUAUCACACUGAUAUUCUUUUUCAAGUGGAGUAUCAUCAUAUUGAUAUUUAACUGGCUGUCGUGUAUAUGCUGCAAAACUCCGAAUGAAAUAUCACAUGAUAUUCAAUUGAUUGUGACGUAUCCUCAUAAUAAUCUUUUUACGGUAAAAUAUUUUAAAGGUAUUUAGGGCCCACAAAUAAUUUUAAUAAGCAUUCAUCCAAGAACUUAAUUAACGUAUUAUUGUUAAAAAUUAUGCAAAAUUAGAUUUUUUAACUUUAAAUUAGUUAGUGUGAUACAUGCUUUGACGAUGUAAUUGAUUACCUACCCAUUAAUAAUUAACAUAUUAUUUACAAAUUUAAUUAUGAAUAAAUUAAUAUGUUAGAUAUAAUCACACAUAUUAAUUAUAAAUAUUAAUUUAAUGUAUUAAUAAAGAAGGUAAACACAUCAAUUACAUGUCUAAUAAUGAAUUUAUUAAAGUCUUAGAUAUAAUUACAUGUAUUAAUUACAAGUUAUUAAUUAUAUGUAUCAAUGGAAGAGAUAUUAGUUGCAAGUGUAUUAAUGAAAGAGAGGGUUAAAAGAGUAAUUUACAUGGUGAAUAAAAUGUGGCAUGUUGGUCUAUUAUAUAUAUAAAUAGAUAGAUAGAUAAGCAUUUUUUUUAAAAUUAAAUCAAACGGUCCAAAAAUUUGAUUUGUUCUUAAAUAGUUUGAUUUCCGCACUUCACUGUUUGAGAUAUCAACAACCAUUUUUCUCUCACUUUUUUGAGUAAACUAAAUAUUCAUUUAUUUUAUCGGAGACCGAUCGUAUACUGGAUUUUUUAUAGGUUAGGCUGAUCCGAAUCCGUUAGAGUUGUAAAGUUGUAGAGAUGUAAUCUGGCAAUUUAUAACUCUUGCAUCCGAGAGAAUUUGAGAUAUCGAGAUGUUUAAUGAACUUGACAACUCAUUACAAAAUGACUUAAGAACGAGCACUCUCAGGGUCGUUUGGUUGGAGAGGAGGUAUGAGGUUGGAAUGAGGAAUCGGGUUAUCAGGUGUUUGGUUGAGUGGUGGAAUGAAUAUGGUUGAAUUAUAAUAUUUAUGAGUUAUUAACUGUAAUUAAUUUAAAAUAUCAUGAAAUUAAUAUUUGUAUACAUUUUUAAGUCAUUAAUUUCAUUUUGUGUUAAAAAUUUACAAGAAAUAAUAUAAAUAAUAAUGAAAAUAAAAGAAAAAAAAUUGAUUCCUGAAACGCAUAUUUCAUACCCACCUCCCCCUUGUUAUGAAAUUCUCAUACCUUGUGGGUUUGAGGAAUGAGUUUGAUGAAAUAAAAUUCUCAACCAGAUAUGGGUUUGGAAUGAACAAAACUCAUACCUGAUAUCACGGAAGCCUGAACCAAACGACCCCUCAAGUGUUUGAGGUUGGGUAAGAGGACACUGAAAAUACUAGCCUGUGAGUAUAGUGAUUGUACUGUAUAAAAGUAGGCCUUGUAGAUAUUUGGUUUUAAAUCCUCAAACCCCUCCAGCCUUACAUGAAUUGCCUGAGAAAGCUGGUUAGAAUCCUGACUUGGUGUUACGGUUUGGGAGUGAUUAGUUGACACAUCUACAGCAAGAUCAUGCAUUUUGCAACAGGUGAUAUUGCCAUAUUCAUCCGUUUCCACGUCUUGUAACAAAGAAUUCGACAACAAAAUGUUGAAGUAUUCACUGCCUACGUCCUCCAUCAGCAAAUUGGUAUCUCCAGGAGACAAAAGGAAUCCUAAUGCCAUACAUAUAUGUACCAUUUCAUCUUUAUAUAUAAGAGAAUCCUUGGAAAGAACAGAAAAAUAUGCAAAACAUCUUUUCAAAGAUGAAUAUGGUAAAUUGUCAUAUGACAACCUCAAGGAUGAUAAUACCCCUUUUGAUUUCCAUACUUCACUGUUUAAGAUCAACAGCCACUCUUCCUCCGACUUCUUUGAGUACAAUAAACCCCCUAAUGUUUUUAUUGCCAGAGGCAGGCCGCCACACCUUUCCACCAUUCUUCUUCCCAAGUCUACAAAUUCCCUGGUCUCUAAAACUCCUCCAUGUGUAAAUGCUCUUUGCUUGAAUAGUGCCCAACUAUAUUCUUCUGAAAGUUUUUCGACCCUAUAACAAACAGAACAUUGCAUGGCAUCGAUGACUUCCUGGUUACGCGUGGUAACUAGAAUGCUGCUUCCUUUCGCACAACCAACCCCAAGCAAAGAAUUCAUCAAGCUAUCCCACUUAUCUGCUUUCUCAUUCCAUACAUCAUCCAGUACAAGUAAAACCUUUACCCCCUUUAGAUGUUUUUGAAGAUUUUUUUAUCACUGCUUCAGUGUUAUCCAACACUGAAGUGGUUGAAGUAAGCGAUCCUACCAUCUGAUUCAAAAUCUUCAUGAAAUCAAAAUCAUCUGAUAUAGUAACCCAUAUCCUUCUUGAAAAUAUAUUGAUCACAACGUCUUUAUUGUAGACCACACGAGCAAGAGUUGUCUUACCUUGACCCCCCAUCCCUGCUACAGCAACGACCAGUAAAUCCUCAUCAUGAAUUUUGGACAAGACAUGAACUAAAUUUGAUACAUCUUCAUCUCUUCCGACUACUUGUGUCUCGACUUCAAAGGGCGCAGUGUGACGGAUCUCUCUCACUUGUACAGUUGCACUCAAUUGUGCUAUGGGCUGCAGUCCAAGAUCUGCCGCCCAUUUAAAAAUCUUGUCAAAGGAUUUAUGAAUAGUCUUGAUCUUAUUAGCCGCCUUAAAACGAUUUAAUAUGUUGUUUUUAGAAGGAACAAAGAAGUCCCUUACCCUGUGAUGACUUUCCACCUUUUGUCGAGUAACUUCAUAAGCAAGUUGAUCCAUAAAAACAUCAGCGACAUGUGCCACAGCUUUGAGUUUGCUGAACCAGGUUUGGACAGAAAACAUAUCUAGUUUCUUGGUACAAGUAUCGGACAGGAGAGCAAAGCUGAGAGAAAACCAUCCAGCUUUGUGGAUGGUGACUUGAAUAGAAAUUUAUCAAGUGAGUAAAGCUGAGGGGAAAAGAAAGCCAAUUCAGCUAAAAGUCAAUAGCCUCCUAGAAGAUGGCAUCUUUAUUUUUUACAUGUCAGGUGAACCCUGGUUGGGAUCAUGAUUGACUAAAUUUAUAUUUAAAUUCAUUUAUGUUAUCGAAUUCAAAUUAGAUUAAUACUGAUUACCGGCCGAUCCGAAUCGGUCGGAGACGGGGAUCUCGAACUCCACUCUGUAUGAUUUAUUUUAUUUUAAAGAAAAUUGAUUUGUUACAAAGUUAUAAAAGACCAUUUAUCAUUUACAAUUGAACAAAAUUUAAACCAAAAAAUAUUUAAAAAGAAAAAAAUAAAUGUAAAUCGACGGUCAAUAUUGAUUUUGGAGCAAGUCUAUCGUCCUAAUAUAAAAAAAUGCUUGAUACCGAGACGACAAAAAACUUUGUCUCUCUUAUUUUUAUCUUUGUCGAAAAAGUACUUACUACAUUAUUACAUCUUUGAAGAAAGCAUUUGUAUCAGAAGUAUUCUUGACAUUUUCCAAUUCUAUUGUAGCAUCAUCUUGUUCUUUGUUGUAAACAAAAAAGUUUGCAGCCAGAAGAAAAAACAAGAGGUUAAUAAAGCUCAAAACAGCAUAAAAUGCGUAGAAAUAGUCCAAGUGAGACACAUUCAAGUUGUCCAAAAUCCAGCCCUUGUGACCAUCCCUCUUAGUGAAAUCAGACACAACUGUUAGAAUAAAACUGCUUAGAAAAUUCCCAAUACUCAAGCUAGUUGUAUAAUAGGCUGUGCCGAAGCUUUUCAUACUUUUUGGAGCUUGAUCAUAGAAGAAUUCAAGUCUCCCCACUUCCCAAAAUGUGUCAGCAACCCCCAUCAGAGCAUACUGAGGAAGUAAUAUGAAAAUGCUGAGCGGAACAAUUUGAUUUUUCUUUGUAAUGCCAUGAUCUUUAAUGACGUUUAAUCGCUUCCUUUCACAAACUGAAGCAAUGAUCAUGAUGAUGACAUGCAUUACUAGGCCUAUUCCCAUUCUUUGCAGCAUUGGGAUCCCUCUUGGAUUUUUGGUGUAGCUUCGAAGUGUGGGAACCAGGAAUUUAUCAUAGAUCACAACAGUGAUCAACAUAAAGAUUGUUAUGAAUGCUACAAGAGAUGCCGGGGGAAUGCUGAAAUGAGGACCUAUGCUUCUAACAAGAGUGGUGCCUUGCUUGAUGAAGAGUGUAUGUCCUUGAGCUAUCAGUGUGCUAGGUAAGAAUGAUACUAAUAAGAUUGGCGCCAUUUUUACCAUUUGUUUUGUUUCUUCAACUUCAGUCACUGUGCAUUGCAUCCAAUGAGGGCUCAUUCCAUCCACAACAGCCGCUUUAUCUAGUAUUCUGUGUAGAAGAAAAUGAUAUGUAAAAGUCAUACUCAGUGCACAAGACACCCGUAUCAAUAAGUAAAAAUGGAAACAGAGGACCAUAAACCUCUUCUUGGAGGGAUAAGAAAUCAGACCUCAAUAAAGGAGAGUGCUCAAUUCUAUACUUUCCAGGUUUGGAAUAUUCAUCCAAAUUCAACUCAUGUAGUUCUUUUGGAUCAUCCGGGACAACCAACUUCCAUUUUCUAAUAGUGGCUAUAAGAACUCUAGCCAUCUUGGUCAAUGGGCUCCCAGAUGCAGGUUGGUGCCUAUAAUAAGGCGAGCCUGCUAGAAAGACCAAUAUUGAUAAAAAGAGUCCGAUUGUUGGAAGACCAUAUCCAAGUCCCCAGCCUGCAUGAUCUUGUAUGUAGACCAGGAAGGUGCUGGCAAAAAGUGUGCCAAAGAAGAUACUAAAGACCCACCAAUUAAAGAAUGAUAUCUUCUGGGUUUUCUCUGUUGGCUCAAAUUCAUCAAACUGAUCUGCACCCAUUGUUGAGAUGUUGGGCUUUGUCCCUCCAGUUCCGAGUGCAAUUAUGUACAAUGCACAGUAGAAAAUACCCACUUGAAAAGGUGAAGCUUGCUUGUUACAGUCCACGUCUGUUAUACUGUCACCGCAUGAUGGUGGCCGGAGAGAUUUUAAUGAAACUACUAGUGUCAGCAAGGACAUGCCCUGUUGCACAACAAAUAUCUGAGCCCAAGCAAAGCAAUCAAAACAUAUAGUCAAGAUCACAGAUAUAUGUGAAACUCGCGAACAAUUUUAUGUUUUCAUACCCCAAGAUAGAUGAAGGCUGAAACGAUGAAAGUCCAGUAACGGCCAAGAUGAGCAUCCGCGAUGUAGGCACCUAGAAUGGGUGUCAGCCAGACAGUGCCAACCCAGUUGGUGACAUUGUUUGAAGACUUCACGGUGCCUUCAUGUAAUUUUCUUGUGAGAUACAGCACUAGAUUUGUUGAUAUUCCAUAAAAUGCCAUCCUCUCAAAUGCUUCAUACCCUUCAAAAUCAUUCAUUAUACGGAAUAAAUUAGAAAAUCAAACCAAAACUUAUUUUCUUCACCUUAAUACAAAAUAGUACAUGAGUUGAAUGUGGUAAAUGUUCCAUUGGAUGAUAUCAGAAUUAUCAAAAGAAGCAAUAGAAUCUUGUUGACAUACCUACAAUGAAGGAGGUUGCUCUCCAUCUCCCUGUGUUUGAUCUUAACACAGGAUUACCCUUGAGGUCAACUGUUCCAUCUUCGGUGUACUCAUCAUCCCCUCUCGUCUUGCCAUUUUCUUCGACUACUCUUUCCAUUGUCAUUGUCAUCUCCCUGUGUUUGAUCUGAACACAGUUCAACGUGCAGCUCGAGUUUAUACUAGACAACCUCUGUCUACCUGCAUAUACAGUUAGCUACAAAUGAAAUGGUGGAUAAUAAUUAAAUCACUAACAGACUAAGACUGAAGUCAGUUUUUAUAUCUGAAAUUCAACCCUUUUCUUAUCUAAAAUAUUCAUGCUGGUAAAAGAACAAAUACAAGUGUCCAAGUAAAUGAAUAUAGACGCCACUUCUUAGUUUUUUCUAGUAAUAUACAAAUGCAGCUGCUAAUAUUUUAGUUAGCAUCAAAAUGUUCAAGUAUGAAGAAUAUCUGGGGCAAGACGGCUACCAACGUUAAUUUGCCGACUGAUCCCCGCAUAAGUGACAAAUAUUCAUGUCUAUAUAGGUAACAAUUUGAAAGCUUAGUAGCCGACCUCAUCAUAGGAUCAGUAAGUACAUCGCUCACUUGUCUUCUUCUUCUUCUCUCUUUUUUUUUUGCCGACUUGUUAAUGGAACUUAUCAGUUAUUAGUACAUCGCUCACUUAUUUAUCUUUUUUCGCUAAGCAGCUCAAUAUUUAUUGAACUUCUAUUUAUCUUUUUUCGCUAAGCAGCUCAAUAUUUAUUUUACCUCUAUUCUGCUUCCUCUCCGUUCACUCAUUAAGCCUUAAAGUAAUUUGUGAAACAACUACCACCGAUAAACUAAUACUCCCUCCGUCCCAAUUCUUUUGUCCUGUUUGACGUUUUGUGGACAAAUAGACUCAAUUUUGACUGAAAUUUACAUAUAUUAAAUAAUUGAAAAAAAUUAUAAAAAAUAUAUUAUUAGAAUCUACAUUUAUUCUACUUUAAGAUGUAUUUUUCAAUUACUAGAAAUCAUAUAAGGAUAAUUAUUCAUUAACGAUCAAAGUUGGGUCAAUUUGACCACAAAAAAUCAAACAAGACAAAAGAAGUUGGUAGGACGGAUUUUGUAGAGUUUGUUUUUGUCAUUAUAGUGUUACCACCCGUAUUUUCUUACAAUUUUGUAAAUGACAGGUUUUUGAAUUAAAUCUUGUAUUAGUAUGAAUUUGAUUAAUAAUAUUAAUAUGAACUCUUUAUUUAUUUGAAUUCUAAAACAUGACAAAUUUUUAUAAACUUGUUUUAUAAAUUAAAUUGUUUGAGUUUUAAAAACUAAAAACAAAUUAACAAUUCUAUUGAAGGUACAUGUGACAUUACAUAAAAAUUCUAAUAAAAUAAUUGUACUUCUUAAAUAAAAAAUAUAUAAGUUUCGGUGCUGGUGAAAAGGGCCGCACUCCUGCAGUAUCUUUGGAUCAUAAAGGAUGCUCUUCAGAAGUCCACAUCUCAUCAUCCCUGAUUUAAAAAUUUUAAAAAUUUCAGUGAAGCAGUAAAAAUGGAGACAGAGAUAAGUUAGUACUAACAGAGAGUGAUAAGUUUACCAUCUGAUAAUCGGAAUAUGUUGAAUCUUGAACCAUUCUGGCCCACUCUCUUUCCUGUAUCUUUCUUUCAGAAUUGGACACUCACUUAUGCGUAGAAAUCGGAGGCAAUGAGAUUCAUCAAACAGAGACACUCUCUCCAAAUCCUUACAAUUCUGAAUAGAUAAGUCCGCAAGAGAUGGAAGCUUCGCUAUUGACAGGACAAGAUCUUUCAUACCUCCGAAAUCACAUAUAAAUAACUCGGUCAACGCAGGGAAGGUGGAGAGCUGAAGCUGCUCAAAGAGCGCUAUUGACUUUACCAUUUCCGUCCCUCGCAGAGACAGCCAAACUAGGUUAGGGAAUGAAUGUAAUGAAGAAGAGAAUGGCCAUGGAAAUUCAUCCGAGAAGGGACCUAAGCUUAAUUCUCUAAGUGUGGAACUCUGAAUUUGGGUGGAGAUUCCAUCUAGAAGAGAGGAGGGGAGCCCGCUUAAGUAGAGAGAUCUUAGACCAGCUGAUCCUUCAACUAAAUUAAUACUUACUAGAUUCGGGCAAUCAUAUACAGACAAGAUCUUAAGAGAGACACCAAGGGUGAGAUGCUGUAAACCCUUGCAGUCAACUAGGUCUAAUGAGGUCAAAGACAGAGAAUUAUUUUUCAAUAGCACUUUGAGUAUUGAUUCCAAGUUUGAACAAGAAGAAGAAGAUGAUGAUGAUGAUGAUGAUGAUGAUGAUGAUGAAUCUCCUCCUCCGUCCCUGAUAUUCUGCAGUUUUAAAGUGGUGAGUGAGCUAACAUGCAUAUACAUACUUUCUAGUAUUCUCUCCGAAUUUGUAAUACUCAAAUCUUUCAAGGACGGAAAACAGCUAUUCAGGAUCUUUCUCAACUUUGGACAAUCUGAGAUUUCCAACUCCUCAAGUUUAGGGAAUACAAUUUGGUCUUUACCCCCUUUACUCAAAACGUCUUCCACCCAUUCUUCUAGCUUUGGCAAUCUCCUCAAAGUGAGUGUUGUCACUGACGGAU